This 46136-nucleotide long non-coding RNA is filed under the name Vigna radiata. Its description in RNAcentral is "long non-coding RNA (VRAD_LNC010743)". The record is from RNAcentral. Lineage: Eukaryota; Viridiplantae; Streptophyta; Magnoliopsida; Fabales; Fabaceae.
UCGCGUCUUGUGCGUAUUCUUUGGCUCUGUCUUUCGCUUCUCGCGCUUGAUCAUCUGUCUUACCCUUUGGCUCUGCAGAAUCAUAUGUCCAAUUGCGUCUUGCGUCUCUCGUUCCAUCUGCCGCAUUUCUCCACUGCAAAUGUAUAAACGUAAAAUUUGUCUUUCAACCUAAGUUAACUACCCCAUGAUGCACAAAUUCGAGUUUUAAGAAAAUGUCUAUACAACUCAAUUAUAUGUUAUAAGAUUUUGUUUAACACCGUGAAAGUAUCAAAUUAUGUAUCAAUACUCACAAAUCAAGCGAGCUAAUAGUACCUAAUAGAUACACAUAGAACAAAAAUAAUAUAAACUAUAUCACAUUAACGUAAAAUUACACCUUGGUUAUAUAUGAAAGUAAAAUUUCUAACAUAAAUAGCAGAGUGCGAUUGUGAUGGACUUACCUCUGAGGAGUUGGGAGAGGAAGCGAAGGUGACCCUAGAGGGUUUGAGAGAGAGGUAGGGGGCGUGAGGGAGAGACUUUGAGAAGCGAAAGAGGGUACUUCUUGUUAUGAACAUGGCUGCCAUAUCUUUUUUCCUUUGUUUUUCUAAGAAAGUUUUGUUACUUGCUUCGGUUUAAUUUCCACUAGAAUUUGAUCCGCUUAAAAAUGGAAUGGUUUGACACCUUUUUGGGAAACCUGCAUGUUGGAAAGAAAAGGUGGCGAAGAAGAGGGUUGCCAUGUGUGUUCUUUCCUGCCACGGUUCUUGGAAACUUGCCACGUUUUUAGUUGCUGGUUUGAAAAGUGACGAGAAGAAAGUAAGUAGUUCAGUGAGUAACUCCAAUGAGCCAAUCUUUUGUUGACCAAAGUAGCACCACCGUUUACAAUCGGAAUCAAACCUAUUGGCCGACUUCAUAUGUCUACAUUAAUUUAGGAUCACUCAAAGCCACUAUAUUGAUCUUGACAAUAACAAUUCUAGGGUCACAACAAAGACGGAUAGGAAUUCUCUCACUCAUGCUUCAUCCUAUCAUCUUAUCCAGUAGAAUCACAACCUGUAAAUUUUUUUGAGAUUUGGCUAAUUGUUUAGGUUGACGAGUUCAGUCUAUAAGUAAAAAAAAAAAAUCUAAAUUUAAAUUAUAAGUAAUCUUUGUACGUAGAUGGACCCAAUUUUAGUUAAAUAUAAUUUAGUUUGUUUGAUUCUUGAAUUAAGUAAGGAUAAACAUACAUACAAUAUGUAAAUUCUGUUUAUUGGAUACAUUAAUAUGCGGGUAUGAAUUGUGAUAUUGAUGACUUAUGAUUCAAUUUAAUCAAUUCAGAAAGCUAAAUCAAAAUGUUACGUAGUUAGGAACUGCUUCAGCACUAAUUCAGUAUCAAAUGUCUACCCAAAAAAAAUCUUUUAGUUAAAUAAUUUCAUUUGGGAGAACUACUUCAGCAAUCAAUUCCAUAAAUAUUUCGCAAAUACUGAUUAGUAUUUUGGUUAACACCAAGGAGAAAAUCAUUAUUCUUUAAAUCGAACUGAUAUGAUUAAAUCUCGAACAGAAGUUUUGUAAAAUCGCUCCUUUGUUUGGGUACUAAGGAAUAUAAAUCAGUUAUCACUAUUCUGCUCCCUGAAAUCAUAUGCUUAACGCUGACUUCCACGAACGCUGAUUAAUGCUUGCUUCCACGAACGCUGAUUAAUGCUUGCUUCCACGAACGCUAAUGUCAAAUAUUUACAAUGCCAAAGUUUAUCAAUCAGCUUCAACUUGGGCUUACAAAAAGUGUGGGGCGUGAUUAUUCAAUUCUCGACACUGGAAUAAAAUUGUUAUAUAAAGUAACUGUUUAUUUCAAUUUCAUGAGAACUACCGUACAAUCAAAGAGUUAAGAGCUAAAUUUAUCAAAAAAAAAAAAAAAAUACCAAUUCGAUACAAAGUUCACAGUGAGACCUUCCAUCAAUCUAAAUCUAACGAGUUCACUUGAAUUCACUCUUUGAUAGAAAGAUAACCUUUAUCUACAUAAUUUUAACAGCUUGCCUACGCAAUCUUCUUUACGAGUUGACAUAAUUAAAACGGUUUUUCUAGACUACCUUUCACAGUAAUAUAGCAGAAUCUCCACCACAUCCUCCAAAAAAUCACAAGAUCCAUUAGACUUGCAAUUGUCACUAAACUAACAUGCUCGACUUAAUAAAGUGCUUGCAUGCCAAGAUCAAAAAAAGAAAACUAAUAUUUGCACAAUAGAGUCUAUUGUUUUGAGAGAAACAUUCACACCCUAAAGUCCUUUUGCAGCUUCUUAUCAAGGCAAUAAACCAUAAUGACAAACAUUUGGUUGGGAGGGUAAAAAUGACAAUAUAAAUAUCAACUACAAAAGGUUACUGAUUCCACCGGAACAAAAAAAUCAACUCCAUUAAACUGUCGAACAAAGCAUAAAAGAAAUAUUAAAAGAAAAGUAUUUGAAUAGCAAAAUAGCAACAUAUCAAAAAGCUAGAGCCGAAGGUUAAACUUCAUCUGUCUCAAAGAAGCUUAUGCUGUGGCAGCUUGUUUAGUAGCACUGGAAAGUCUUGAUCUUCUCUUAGCCAAGCUCUCACUCCGACGUUCUCUCUGCUCCUUCAAUCUGGAGGCGAGAAGUUUCUGGUACUCCGCUGCCUCUGAUUUUGCUUUGGCAAUUCUCUUUUUCUUAUCUGCGAUCCUUGCUCUCUUUCUUUGGAGGGUCAGGGGAGUGACCAGGCGUUGGAUUUUAGGAGCCUUGCUCACCUUUUUCCCUGUAACCAAAAUAUGUCAACCAAUUAUAACCACAACUUCUAUAUCUUUUCAAAAAAUAAUCUCCUAUAUUAAUCGGCCCUCUGCCAAAAUUAAUCUACCAAAACAUGCAAAAGCCAGAGGUUUAAAAAGAAUGAGAAGUGACUACUCAUAGCAGUUAAUCUCUUAAGUUCACGUUAAUUUUUUGAGAUUUUUCAAAAAGAAUGAUGUCAAGAAAACAAUUCUAUACACAGCUGCAUGAAUAUAUUAUUUAGAUAAAUUCUUGCAGCAAACAAAAAUACAAACAACAUUCAAUUACAAAUUGAAUAGUAAUACAGCCAGAAUAGCUCUGUUAAUGUAGUAACCAUCAAGCUAACAAAUUUGAUAAAUUCAAACUUAGAUGCACAAAAAAGGCAGCAAUAAAGAUUACAGGUUAUAUACGGGUUAAGCUUGACAUUUAUUCGCAAGAACAACAUAAAGCUACGGAGAACAGUUGCAGAGAGAAUACACAUUACCAGCUUUAGUUGUAAAAGUUCUCCUAUAUGUGUUGACAUACUUCCUCACAUCAUCAUCCUUAGACAGGUUGAACAGCUUGCGAAUUUUGGAAGCUCUCUUUGGGCCCCUCAUCCUUGGCUUUUCAACGUCGGUCAGGCCUGGUAAAUCACUUUCACCCUUCUUUACAAUUACCAAAUUCAGAACAGAGAGGUCUGGGCUGACAAUGCACCCACGAACAGACUUCCUCCUUCGCUCUCCAUUGCGCCUUCCAUAUCCACGGAAACAAGGAGUUCCUGCUCGUGUAAGCAAUGAAAUGAAAUUUGACAUCAGACCACAAAUGAAUGUUGCAAAUAUAUCAGUAUAUCCGAAACAAGUAUAUAGGAUCUUACUUGAAACAUAAUAAAACAACACGGGUUAUUAAACAAAAAUGUAUGAUGUCACACACAAAGGAGUCACUCACAAAAUUUCAAGACCAUAUCCAUAUCCAAAUAUAGAACAUGAGAUGAAAGAAUGCUUCGGACUAAUAGUUCCGACAUAUUUAUAAUAAAACAAAACAGAAGAAUUUUUAAAUGGUAAGACCUCUGUGCAGCAGGAGACGAACACGGCCAGGGGUCAACACUCCUUGCUUCAUUGGAAAUCCUUGCUUGUCACAACCUCCGGUGAUUUUGAACACAUAGCCUUUGAAUUCCUAAAAGUAGCAAAACAAAAAGAAUAGGCCAAUAAUUGAUCAAUGUUCAUCAGGAAAUUUCAGCAGACAGCCAAUCGAAGGAAGGAUUUCAGUCAAAAACCAUACCUCGCCCAAAGCAUCACCAAGAACCUCUUGAGAGAUCCUCUUGUCCCAAAAUGCUCGUCUGCGAUUAAAAACCAAAAUACCAUAACAUCAAUUAAAAUUAUGACAUCUAUCCUUUCUUCCUAACAUCGCAAGCAAUUGAAAAUAAAAAAGGUCAAAGCAUGAAUUACAGCUUCUGGUCGUCAUCAAUCUCCAACUUCUUCUGACAACCGGUGGUCGGAUUCGCAAUGUUGAACUGCAAAAACAGUUAUGAGAGUAAAAUUUAGCCCAAUCAAGAAAUCAAAUCAGCAAACAAGUUAGGGUUUCAGAGAUAAACCUUCAUCUUGAAAUCUGGCCCCGAGUCUGCCUGUUAGCGUCGCAGCAACUAAGUGAAAGGAUAAAAGAAUCUAGGGUUUUUGGCUUAUGAGCGUGGCGGUGACUUUGGUUUUCUUCAAAUUAUUGGGCCUGACCAGCCCAUGACCCGAAAUCUAACAUUUACUUUUGGACAUUGCUCCCUCCACCACCUCCACCACCACUUCCUACACCUCUCCAUAUUCUUUUAAUUCCAAUUUUAUCCUUAACUCUACUUCUUAUUUAUUAUCUGCGCUGCAACACCAAUAUCAUGGAUCUCUCUUCUUCCAUUUCGUUUCACUUCUCCUUAAUUGUUCUUCCUUUCCUUUUUUUUUUUUCUUCAUUUGUUUCUUUCCCAAUUUCGUUUUGGGUUUCAAAGCUUGCACUUCCUAACACGUAUCGAACCAAGUUCUGGUUAUACAUAGUCACGUUUUCUGGACCUGCUCCAAUUUCAUUUGAGUCUCUUACGGAAGGCCAACUUGUCUCGAAAAUUGUGAUCUUAACAUUGUUGUAUUGAACCGUUGACAUGAUAGCAAAAACGGCGUCGAUUCGAGCAUCUAAAAGGUUGGUGUAUUUCAAACAGUUAUCGGAAUCAACCACGCUAGCGUUCUCCUUGAAAAGAGGAUGGUCCAAGGAAAUUUUAUCAGUGUUUGUUGAGUAAACAAAAAACGGGUAGGCUUUCACCAUUAGAGGGAACCGAUUUGGCGGAGGAGGUUGAGCAUGGGUUUAAUAACCGGUUCAACUAGUUCGGUUUUUGAAGGAACCAGAUGUUGCGGGGAAGGAGCUUUGGAGUGCGAAAGAGUGCAAUGGGAUAGAAGAUUUUCAUGUUGGUGUCGAGGUUGUACUUAGUUAAGGAAGCUGACAUGUUCUUCAUUGCCUCUACGAGAAACUUGGUUGUGUUAUAGGGUCAACAAACACUUCGUAGUCCACAAUGACAACUUCGAUUUGCAUGGUUGGGUAGUAUUUAGAGAUGCGGUGAAGGACUAAUCUAUCGUGGAGUUCGAGAGAAACUCGUUUGGCAUGGCAAUCGUCACCUUAAUUCUUGAGUUAACAAACGGUUAACACGGUGACGUCGGUGUCGUAUAGCUUCACAUAGUUCAACCCCUGAUCUUUAGAAGCUCCACCACCUUUGCCGGUGUAGGAAGGUCGUUUGCCAACCUUCAUAGUUUACUCCUACGGACCUGCUUAUAAGAAUUAGAGUAACGAUAAAAAUAUAGCCAUGUCCAGUCAACAAACAAAAACUUAUAAGAAACACUUUUUUUUUUUUUACUUGUUUCAUUUUUUAGUAUCUGAAGUUUAUGAUAUAUGCAAAAGUUUUUAACAUACUAAAAAUAUGAAGAAAGAAAAAAUAGCAGCUCUAAAAAUAAGUAUGCAAUUAAAUUAAAAUUUGUACACAAACAAUAGAGAGAUUAUGAAAAAUAAUAUAAAAAAAUAAACUACUAUAAACAAAAGAAAAAUAAAAGUUAUCUUAAACGGAUGUGAACUUUGGUGUUGAAGGUAAAAACAGAUAUCCACGUUCGUUAUAUCUUUGAUAAAUGUUCACCAAAGGACAAAACAGGAAUAGGAGGUAUCACAAACAGUCCGUAGUGGUGUAAGGAGCAACGUCAUUUACUUUUUGGGUAUUUCACCUCAUUUCAACAUUUUAUUCUAUAUCUCCAAUUUUUUGUUAAAUUUUAAAUUUUUAAUAUAACUAUUAUAUAAUAUAAAUUAUAUUUUAAGAAUUUUUAAAAUAUGAAAAUAUAUUAACUAAUAUUAUAUUUUUAAAUUAAAUUAUUAUUAAAUUUAAAAAAAUUAUUAGUCUUGAAAUUAAAUUAAAUAAUUCUAUAUUAAAUAAUAAACUAAAUUUUAAUGAUAUCAGUCCAAAUAUAUGAUAUAAAAAAUUGAUAGAGCAAAUUUUUUUAAAAUUUUAUUUUUUAUUUAAAAUCUAGUAAUAAAAAUAUAGCUUGCGAAUUGAGACUAGAAAAGAUUUAAAUACUGAUUCCAACCUUUGAUAGGUCUUUUAAAAAUAAAAUAAUAACGAGAGACAAGCUCCAAAUCGUACCAUACCUUAAAUGAAUGGUAAUUAACCUUAAUAAUAAAGGAUACUCGACAGACUGAGAAUCAUAAUAUUUGAGUCUACCUUUCUGUAAGAAAACUUUGUCCUACUUUGCUCUUUCAUGGUUAUCACCCAAAGUUAAUUUCACUUGUCACACAAUAUGAGUCCAAUCCAAUAACAGCCAUUUAGAAUUAAAUACAGACAUCAACAGAACGAGAAAAAGACUUAUAUAACCACACACCUCUGGAACCAAUCACAAUUCACUACAACAAGUAUUAUUAUAAAAAAAAUUACUUUCUUAAUAUAAUAAUUUUAAUUUUUGUUAAUUUUAUUUUAAUUUCAUAAAUUUUUAAUAUUAUUAUGUGAUUAGUUUUUAAUAUUUGUCACGUAUUUAUUAAAGAAAAAAUCAACAUUAAUAUGAAAUCAUGCAUGAUUUCAAUUAUAUUAAAAAUACUUAUUUUUAAUAAACGUACACGUACAAUUAUUAAAGAUUAAAAAUAUGUUAAAUUACCUACAAAAUAUUAAACUUCAAAUAAAUUCAAUGAAAUUAAAAUUUUUAUCAGAAAACUUAAACUUUACUUGUUUUAUAGUAAAGACUAAUAUGUAAGUAUUUAAUGUACUAAUAUGUCUUCUUAUCCAAAAGAGCUUUGUCAUCACUGGUGCUUGUGCAUUCACAUCAUUAGCUAAAGGUCACAGGAUUACUAGUUUGAAUUAUGAUAGGUGCAAGUACUAUAUUCUAAAGAUUUAGCAUACAUUUUAUUUUAUUCCAAAUAAAAGGUGGGAACAUGUUAAGGUUACACUACAAUAAUUGCAUUCAAAAAACUUGUUUCUAUUGCCACAAAAAUGACUAAAUUUGAAUAGCAAUCCCCUUUUACUUGGGUUUCCUCAGCAAUAAUUUUUGGAUAUAACAUACUCAACGAUAAAUCUGUCAUCAUAAUAUCAUACAUCUACCUACAGUUUACAUCUCACUGUACAUAAUCUCAUAUAUAUCAGCAAACAAGGCUAGUAAACUUGUAUUCAGAAAUCAUGGGUCCCACUUCUGAGAACGAGAAAUUCCUCUUCUAACCCUACAUAUCUUGCAAGCAUAUCUUAGCAAAGAUGAAUUCAAAUACAAGUGUGAAUUUAAUGUUGGAUAUUUCAUCCACUGUGUAAGAUUCCUCAAUUUGUUAAGCAAAUGACCGAAACAUCUCUAUGCAUGAAUGAUAUACUUACAUAUGCUUGGUAAAGAAACAAACUACACAAAGUUUUUCACCUCUGAAAUGGUUCCCGGAACAAAAGUUUCAGAUAGAAGUUCCAAUUUCCCAUGAAUGUAUCUCUGACAUUAGGAUCUAGCUGGAGUCACCAUUCCUUCUCCUUCAGACACUCUAGCAGAGACUGUGGCUCAUUCCUCAGGUUUGUCACUGCACCACAUCCACACUGGCUUGGUCUUUGAAAAUUGUUGUAGACACUAGUUUUGUCAACACCAAAAACAGAUAAAAAACCAGGCUGCAAUAGUGGGGGCCUUGGGGGCUCCAUUUAUGUCACUGGUUAGAAGACAAAGGGUUGUUGUUGCUCCAACUAUCAAAUUGAUCAAACCUGUAAGUAUCAUGAUAGAGAAAGUUUACAGGACCAGGAGUAUUCAAAUGAGUAGGUAGCAUGUAAUUGUUGGUCGUUUCAGGUUUGUAGUUCUCUCUAUACCAACGCAGCCAUUCUGAAGAAGUCAUUCUUCCAAGUGAUGGGUAUCCAUUAGAAAGAACAGAAAAUCUAGGAUCAUAUCCACGUGGUCCAUAAGUAGAACUCCAAUCUGAGUUGUCUGGAAACAAUGGAGGAGAUAAACAAGACUGUGCAUCCGUAUACCAUGUAGCAUUAUCAGGAAGUAAUGGAGCAGAUGGCACUGGAAGGGAAUAUGUAGCAGAAGGGGAAUAAUGGUAGAUUGAAGACUCAUCUACUGAACUUGCGACCGAAUUUUCAGUUUUAUUGAUGGAAAGACUGACCAAAGAUGAAGAGGCUAUUUCCUCAAUUGGCUGCAGCCUUUUCCCACCAAGGUCAUUUGUUCCAUUAUUUUUGUAAUCGCUCAAGCUUCCUCUACCAAGCACCCAAGCAUUGAGAGAAGGAGGGCCUGCAGAGAUUAGGGCUUCAGGAAAAGUAUGUGCAUUUGAUUCCUUUGUUGAAGAUUCUUGUUGUUUAAAUGAUCUGUCACUCCUUAAAUCCAAAAAUCUGUCAUGGAAUUCCCAUGGAUCACUUUGAGUUUGAGCUGGGUUUUGUGCCAUAAGCAGAGAACUAGCACGGCGCAAACAAUCAUUAGACUGAACGCUUUGGUUGUCCUUGUGUUUUGGUGACAUCUGGUCAACAGUGGACUUAGAGGGGUGUGAUGGUGCUGAAUUAUACCUUGUGAGGGGCCUGAAGAGAAUAACUUCUUCCUCUUCCACUACAUAAGAUUUUCCAAUGGUGCUGGAUCUACUUGGAUUAUCCUCUCUCAUCCAUUUGCCAUACCCUCCCGAGUCUUCUUCAGAUUGUCGAUAAUGCUCUUCCAAUUUUGUGUUAUUGCUAUUGGACUCCACAUUUUUUGUUUCUUCCUUGUCGUGAUCUUCAUCUGGUCUAGCCACAUGAAAUUUAUUUCCUAAUUUAUCAUAUUUAAUCCACUUCUGCCAAGUCUUUGAUCUGGUGGCCAUCUUUAUCGCUGCUUCUCUGAUGCGCUCAGUGCGCAAAUCAAUUCCACUUUCAAAGUUGUCUAAGUGUUCCCAAUUACCACAGAAAUCCAAUGAGACAUGUGAACGAGCUAUAGGUAUAAAGCCCCUCAACUCAUAAUCCUCCCACAGAGGAAAUCUAUCAAGAUGCUUUUUGGUUUCCUUUCUAUCAGUCUUUAGUUGAUUCAGAAGUUCAACAAACACAUAAAAAAAAUAGGAAAUAGCUCUUGUACAAUUUUGGUCGGUUGCACUUAUGUCAUGUAUGCUUGAACACCACUCCACAAAGACAAGCACUGAAGGCAACAGAGGGCAAUGAUUCAAAGAACUCGCCUUUAGGCAUCUUUCAGUGAAACGUCCCAUCAAGCUAAAUGCAGCAGCUAAUGCCAGUUGCCUCAACUGCCUUUCAUUUGUGUCUUCAGAUUCAUUUUUUCCAAGUAGAUUUGUGAGGGAGAAUAUGAUAAUAGAAACUGCUUGUAUGGCUCGGAAAGGACCUCUUCUGGCUAAGUCCAUUUGACUAUAGGAUUCCAACGUGGUCUUUAGUUCCCUGUCUUCUAGCUCCAUCAUCUGAUCCAAUCCUCCAAUUGUGGAUGCCAAUGCAAUAGAGAAUUCCUCCAAACUGAUUAAGUAAAUAACGGUAAACAACAGAAAGCACACAAAAGGAACUAAAUGUCCACAUGAAUCUAUAUUAAACCUCUGACCCAACACAUAAUUCAGAAGAGCAUCUAGCUAUCUAGAUAUUUUUUACAGCCGACUAUGAAAUUACUUUUAUUUUAUUCUCACCCUUUUAAUUAUAAUUUUAAUGCAUGCAGCUAUUAUCAGUGUAUUUAAAAACUUAUCAUCGGUAUAUUCCUUUUGACGUUGAAAACCUCAAAUAUGAUCUUCAUAACAUAAAGAGUGUCCACGAUGAAUUAGUUAUUAACUGUGAACUCAGCAGACUUGUUCAAGAGACACUAAUGAAGGAUAUGGAAAAUAUGCACGAUUCAUUGACAAAAAUAGGAAAAUUGAAACAGUAAAAGGGUAAGAUAACAUGCCAAGAAAAGUUGUAAACCAAAUAAAAAGAAUCCAAGAUAUACCUUGACGAUACGAAGAAGAAACUCAUUGUUCUGACGACAAGUGACCAUAAUUUUGUAAAAUGAUUAUUUUUGCCUUCAAACUUUUUGCAGUUUGAGCUAUCGUCUUUGCCUUGCACCUUGGUCUCUUCACCAAUUCUGCAAAAAGGUUUCAUGAAAUCUACAGAGACUUCGCUGGAAAUAAACUCCAGAGGAGAUGAUCUAUUCUGCAAUAUCAAUAGAGACACUUGAGGAGAUGAAUGAAAGUAUAAGAUGCUUAGAAACAUUAAGCAUACGGAUAAAUAGCAGUGCAUUAAAGAGCCUAAAUGUCGUAUGACCUUUUCAAACAACAAGAUAAGGUUGUUCCAGGCAUCGGGAAAAGGUUGUUUAACUGCUAAACUUCUUAUACAGUGGUAGAGAGCAAGAAAUUCAUCACCGAUAUAUGUUGCCAGUACAGCCAACUGCAAACGAGAAAGAUUACCACCAUUUGAUAAAAAAGACUAACAAAUAGAAGGCAAAGUUUCUCAUGCAACACUGCAAUAGGUAACAAUCAUUACCUGAUUUUGUGGGUUACCACUGUCUGGCCAAAUCCUUGUCGCCUCCAAAUAAUGUGUGGCAGCAACCGACCAAUUAUGAUGUUGAAUAUCUGGGUUUUCACAUUGUUGCUUAUACCUGGAGAGAUCCCCCAUACAAACUAGGCAGCGAUGACACAAAUACUGGCAUUUCUGCAUGACAUCUGUUUCGACAGAAGCAUAAUUCCAACCCUUUUUAUAAAACAAAGCCUCCACGGGGACUCCAAAAUUUUUUCUAAUUUUGACAAUCAGAGUUUGGUAAAAUUCAAUAGCUUCUGUCAGAAAUAUCUUAAAUAGCUUUAAAUGACUGUCAUUGUCUCUAUGCACAACAUGAUUUUGAGGCGUUCCUGAUAUUUUGCUUUCCACGUUACCAGAGCUUUUCUUUAUUAGUUUUCGAAACUCAUCGAUAUGCUUAUAGUGCAGCUUCCACAGAGAAUAUUCAACAUCCUGAAGUUCUGAAAGCAUGAGAUCACUCAAGAUUUUUAUCUCAUAACCAGACCGAACCUUGCGGUACAAGUCUUGAGUAUCAGAGUGCAAAAGUCCUUUAGAAUGCAUGAAUGCCCACAACUGCUUUUCAUAAUUCCCAAUCUGAACAAAAGUUAACUGAUAUCAAUUAAAUCACAUUUCCCAAGUCCAAAACAUAACAAAGAAUCCUAGUUUUGGAAAGUCACCUCUGAGAGAACCUUUUCUUCUUUAUGAAUUCCAGGAGAAAGGGAUAGAUUGCUUGUCAUGGUUCAAACUAAAAAAUUCGUUCAAAGUUGAUGCAUCUGCUUGUAGCACAAACAGGGCCUGUCAGUUGUGUCAUUCUUGGUACAAGGAAAGGCGGAAAUUUUAAAAACUAACGAAAAAAAUGAGUCUAAAAAUCUUAAUAUUCGAUUUCAACAUACUAAACAGUUUAUACUCUAAAUAUAGUUACCACCACCAAAAUCACACUAUGAAAUUUAAUUCCAAGACUAAAAUUUCAAUUUCCAGUUGAGUGGUGUCUGCACAGAGAAGAGGGCUUUUGAUGCUCUGUUCAACGAAUCGAAGGAAACUUUUAAUGGAUUCUACAACUAACAUGAAAGUCAAAACAUGGAUGAACUUUUGUAGAUGAAUGAGUGGUCAAUGCAACCAAUAAAGGAAUGACCGCGUAGACACAAUUGCUCCCCGAUGUUUAAUGCAAUACUAUGACCACCAUUACAUGAAGCAUACUUUUGUCAUGUAAUUUUGAUAAAAUUCUAAUGUUAGUACAUAGCAAGUUCUUUAAAUCGUGAAAACAAAGGGCAGUUGAUUUCAAUACCACUAAUUAGCAGAAAUAUUUGACAGUCCUUUUAACAGAAAAAUGGAUUUUGUAUUUCUGAACUAAUAUCUUGUCCCCUAAAAUUCUCUCAUAUCAACAGCAAGCAAAAAUAUGCGAGUAUUUGAAUAAGCAGCCACAACUUUCCCAUGACUGAGAAAACGUGUAGAACGACGGCAGUCUCAAGACAGAGGUUGGUUUUGUAUCUUUUUAUGAGUGAGAGAAAAAUUCAAGGUUGCGCAAUGAGAAGGAAAGGAAAAGAAAAAGAAAAAGGGACUAGCCCUUGAAUUUUCCACCCCAUAAUUUAAGGGAUACCAAAUCGACAAAAAGAAUAACAGACAAUUAAGCACAUGAUACCAAGAGCCCAGCACCUUUUCCAUUCAUGGAAAACACGCAUCCCUAAAUGAAAUAUCUAACUCAAAAGUUGUGCUGUGAUCUAUGCAAACGACUUCUUAAGGGAGGAACGACAGUGACCUUAUUUGAGAAAUAUCAUCAUCAUCUUUGUGGAUAAGUACAUAUGAAAUAAUUCAGGAGGCGAUAUAACCAUGUUUGAGAUAAGAGGACAUAGAGAAAACCAAAUAACUCAAUAUGAGCUUUUUUUAGGAGUGAAGUAUCAAUCAGACUAGCGUAGCAGUUUGCUAACAUCUCAAUAUCCAAACAACGCAUCAACACGCAACACAAGGGGCAAGCAAGCAAGCGUUGCCACCACAACCCUAAAUAACGCAAAAAAGAAAGAAAAAAGAGCAAGAAAUAAAACCCACAUCAACAAAAAUAGACACAGCAUAGACAAGACCAAAACGAAAGAAAAAAAAAAUACAGAUUUUGCUAUUCUUUAAGGUGAUAAGAAAGUAUGAAAAUGAAGUAUAAGAAUUUAGAGAAAAACAAAUAUUACCAAUGGAAGAGGAAAGUCAUUAGUGAACAUUUGUAACUGGGGUAAGCUAGCGGCAUGAAAUGAAGCAGAAAGCGAUUCGAAAUCAGCGAAAGCAAGAAAGAGAAAGAGAAGAAGAUGUAAGCGGAGAAAGGGAGAAGAAAGAAGCAAGAAGAAUUGGACCACUAGUAGGGGUUUCUGUUGUGAAACAGACAAAGUAAAAGGUGGGAUUAUGAUGAGGAGACUGAAUACAAGACAACAAUCUUAACCAUAUUCAGGAUUUUGAUAUAGCUUUUUUCUAAUGGUAAAGAAAUAUGUAAAACGAAUAAAAUAAAGUGCUUUAUCAUCAUCAUCAUCAUCCAUCUUUAUGACUAAAAUAUGAAGGAUCACUGUCUGAACGAGGACAAAUCAUCUGCGUGUGUGCCUAGGGACACAUCACAAUGACUUGUCUAGGGUCAAUAACACAACUAAAACCCAUCACACUUUCUUACAUACAGAAUUCGAUCAGAACACCAAUUCAGCUCCUCUACAGUUUACGAGUAAAUAAAAUAAAAAAGAUUCGUUUUUAUUUCUAAAUUUUGUGAUUUAUAGGAAUAAUUUAAUUAAAAUAACUUAAUAUCUUUGCAGCACUUCAACAAUUCAAUUAGAAAAAUUUCGACACAGUGGUAAUUACUUUAAAAUCUCGAUAUCUUCGCUGACAAACUUUCUACCGAUGCUGAAACCAAGUGACAGAGAAGGCUCUGGAACUAUAACACAUCACAAUUUGGAUUUAUAUCGAAAAGCGACAGAUACAGUCGCAUGAAAACGUUAAAAAACUACGUACAAUCAUCCUGAUUUAAUCAAUUUUACUUUCGAAAUUUUAAUUUCCAAAACCCAAUCUAUGAAUAAUUACUUCACUGUAAAACGUUGGCAAAAUUUGGUAUUAAAAUUUCAUAUAGGAAUAUUUCAGCAAUUGUUUUGUUAAUUACUCAAUGAUUUUGAAAGUUUUAUAUUUUAUUGUGAGAGUUUGAAUGAUCUGAUUUUAGAAGUUUGAUUUUGACUGCACAGGUGUGCAUGAUGGAUUGGGUGUGGUGAAGGGUAGUUGGGAGGUCAUGCAUUCAAUUAAAUUUUCAGAACCUCUCAAAAACUGAACAAUGUCUUUAUGCCACUGGCUCAGUCUCACAUCACAACAAGUUUUGGUCAAUUUCAUAUCUUAUUUAUUGGUUGCAAUUUAUUGAAUCUCAUAAUUUUUAAUAAAUAUUGAAAUAUGUGUCAUGUUCGAGUAAUGAGAAUGAGCUAUGAGCUGCAGAAGCAAUUUUGAGGAAGAAACAAAAAGUUUAAUUUAGGAGAAUAAGUUUUUGCAAUGCAGUCUUGCUUCUCAAAAUAACGUUUUUUCUUUCUUAAAAGUAAAGAAAAGACUAAAUACAAUUUUAAAUAAAAUAUAACCUAAAUAUAUAUAUUUAAAUUUUUAUUCAUAAUUUUUUAAGAUGAAAAAAAAAAACUUAAAAGCAUAAUGUUGCGUUAAAAAGGUUUGAUUAAAUUAUUAGUAAUACAAAACAAAAUUAAUAAAGAAAAUAUCAAUAAAAUACUGCACCCUUUACUUUUUAUCUGUCUCCAUUUUGAAAAAAAAAAACAUUUUUUACUGUUAUUAUUCUAUUUUUAUUAUCAUUAUUAUUUAUUAUAUUCUUAGUCUUCCUAAUAAAAUGUAAAUAAUUUAUACAUAUAGAGCGAGAAAUUGGUAAAACUGAAACUAUAUAGCCAUCUUAUUUGAAUGAGAAUAAAAACCUUUAUAAUUUGUUCACUUGAAUGGAUUUGGGAGAGAGUGAUUGAAUAAAUUUGAAAGGAUUUGAAGAUAAAUUUUUUGUUGUUUAUUUGAGUGAAUUUGGAACUAAGUGAGAGUAAAUUUAGAAGUAAAUUUUUUUAAUUUGUCAUAUAAAUCAAAUCCUAUACUAAUUUUCACAAAUUUUACUUCUAAAUCUACUUUCACUUAUGUCAAAAUCCACUCAAAAAACAACAAAAAAAAAUUAUCUUUAAAUUCUCUCAAAUUCAUUCAAUCACUCCCCCAAAAUCUAUUCAAGUGAACAAGAGAUAAAAGAUACAUAAAUAGAGUAUUAUGAUUAUUUUUUGUUUCAAUCAAUAAAUUUAUUAUUUAAAGUUGAUUAUACUGGGAUUGAUAAAAAUGAAAGAUUUGUUAUUGAGCUUCCAUUGCAAACAACUGUUGUGAGUUGUGCCAAUGGGAAAGGGUUGAUUAAUUUGAAUUGCCAAUGUUUAAAUCUAAGAGAUUAGAUUAAGCAAUCAUUCUUGACAACUUUAAUUUCAUCAUCAUACAGUUUUUAAAUUUAAUUCAUAUUAUAAAAUUCACAAAAAUUAAGUUAAACAAUUUGUUUAAGCAUGCAGUGUGAACACUCUUUGUUGAAAGUCUGAUAUUAUAACUCUUCUAGUGUACUUUUUUUAAAAUAAUUUAUGAAAGUUGCAUAUGCGCAAUAUUUUAAAGUGAAUAUUUGAUUACAGUAUAUUGAUCAUAAAAAAAUUUAUAAUCAUGUAUACAGGUGAUAAAUUCGUAUUGUAAUAAUUAAUUAAUGGUAUACUUUUAAUUAUAUGAUAAUAUAAAUUUUAAAAUCUUGAAAAAUGUUGUCCAAUCGACAUAUGCAACUUAAAUAAUUGAGAGUUUCUUAUAUAUUUAAACUUUUUUAAAGUCUUCAACCUCAUUGACUCGUUUUGACAUUGUAGUUUUCCUUGUUGCUUCUUUGUAACAAAAACGAAAGCUACUCUGUGUGCUUUAUUAAAUGUUUACUCCUAUGUUAUAGUAUUUUUAAUUUCAAUAUUUAUAUUUUAUUUUUCAUUAUUAGUUUGCAUUUUUUUAUUAACUUUUUUAUGGAAUGUAAAGGUAACGUCAUAACAUAACAAGUAAAAUUGUCAAUAUAGUAAUUCUGACAUAAUAAAAAAGGGUCACGUUAAUUUUUUUUAUAUAUAUAAUAAAAAAACUGACGUGUUUGUAAGGAUUAAAAUAAAAAAUAAAUCUUAUUUAAGAGUGUAAUCUCCAAACUACUAAUAUAUAUCACCAAAUAAAAUUAAUAUAAUUGAAACAAUAAAAAGUAUCAUAAUUAAAUAAAAUGAGAAAUUAAUAAAUUAUGUUAAUAUUAAAAAUAAUUUAUGUAACAAGUAUUUAUAAUAAUUAAAGGAAUUAACAUAAGUAUGGUUAAGAUAUUAAACAUGUUUAAAUAUAUUUUAUUAAUACAGCACUUUUUAUUUUACUUGUGAAAUUUGUAGUAUUUUAUAAAUAUAAAAAGUCGAUAUAUACUCAUUCUUACAAGUAUACCGUUUUAUUUUAGUUAUUAACCACAUCAUAUAUUAACAUACAUUUUGAUAAUUUUGCUGAAAAUGUCACUCUUCUGUGACGAUAUUUUCACAACUUAUAAUAAUACCAUCAUUAUUAAAUUAAGCUAAAAAAUUCUUAUGUCAAGAAAAAAAAAAGGUUAAUUAAAGCUUAUCACUAUCAUAUCAAAAUCCAAAAGGAGAAUUAUAAAUGCCAAUAUUUCCUCACGGGAUUUUAAUUCCUUUUUGUAGGAAUGCCACCUAUCUUCGCAUUUAAUUAAGAUCUCGGAUAGACAUAAUCUUUUGACUCCUAUACAUUUUUUUAGUACCGAAAAAAAAAAACACGCGAAGUGAAAACUUGCACUCUUUGUCUUACUUAACUGUGACAAUAAAUCCAAGAAAACUACCAAACUCAGAUGUACAUUACAAGUUUAUAUUUCCUCUCUUCAUUCAUAUUAGUUAUUUAAGAAUUUUUGUCUCAUAAAUUAAGAAAAUUAUUUACUUUUUAUUCUAUUUAAUACAACUCAAAGUAAUUACUUGAUAUAGUUUAUUGAAAUGCAUAUUUAUGUAUUAUUAAUUAUUUUUCUCUCCUCUUCAGUGUUAAUUAAAACUAAAUGAGAUUAUAAAAACAUAUAUUAUCUUAAAAUUUAAAAAUUGACAAAUAAAAGACAUUUUUAUUAAAAAAUUUACAAAUUAAAAUUGUAUAAUAUGAUAGUCCAAUCAGUUUAAGAAUUGGCCGUAAAAAAUAUUUAGAGGUUGAAUUGAGUUAUUGACUUUAAACAAAAAUUAAUGUUAAAUAGAAUUAUGUUAAAUCUAAGUAUUUUCAUUACUGAUUGGACUUUAAUUAAAUUCAUGCUAAUUUGAAAUCCAUUUCAAAAUUUAUAAAUAGAUAUUGUAAUAAAUUGGUUACUAUUAAUAUACAUUUAUUAUUAGUAUGGUUGAAUAUUUAUUAAGUAUAUUUUUUAUAGGUAACUUUUCAAUUUAACCAAAUGAUAGGUAAAAAAAAAAAAUAUGACUUAUGCUAUACUUUGAGUUAAGAAAACGGAUCAAAUAAAAUAAUUGACCUUUACUCACAAUAAAAAAAAAAACUAUUUUAAAAAUAAAUUUUACAGUAUUUAAAAUUUUGGAGACUCUCUAUAUUUCUAGAAGUUGUUAUAGAGAUAUGAGAAAUUUUGCAUGGUUGUAUGUUGAUGACGAUGACGAUGAGCAGAAUCAUCUCACCAAUCUGGAGUUAGUUAACAUCCCAAUCCGAAUUCUAAAGUCAGGAGUUGGGUUAAGAUGAUAGAGACAGAAAAUUAUGAAAGAUUAGCAACUUAUAUUGUGAAAGAUUUUACAUAAUAAAAAUAUUGGUUGUUAGAAGUAGGGGUUGGCGUGGGGCUAACGUAGUUGUUGUUUGGUAUUUGUUUUGGAGCAAAAUUCAAAGUUGAUAUUAUUCAUUAAACAUGUUAUAGGUCUCACUUCUGUCGUUUCCAUCCUACAGGAACGACUUAUAAUUGAGGUCAUCGUCUCUGCUGAAGAAGCUGGAAACAAGGACAACUUUUAACUAUGAAUUCACACAAAGACACGAAUUCAAUUCUUAUUUUUAACCAGGUUUAAUCCAUUUAGUUGUCUCUAUUUUUGGGAAGUUUUUCUAUUUUAAUCUCCGUCUUAUUCGAAUCCCCAAUUAAGUUUUUAUAAGUGUUAAUUUCAAUCAAUUAAGUCCCUGCCGUUAAAUUUAAUUAACAAGAUUAACUUUUUUACACAGAUGGGAGGAUGACCUAUUAAUUAAGUCCCAUAAGUGCUAAAUGGUUUAAACCUUUCAACAAUUACAAAAGUUGGUGCAAUCUAAGAAACUAAUCUUACGAGGUUAACUAGUUUUACAACCAUAAAGUGACUUGGUUGCAGAUAACGUGUCGAAUAAGCCGUAAACAUGCAAGUGUAAUGAGAAACGUUGGAGAAUUAUUAUUAAUUAACAGUUGCAUAGCGUUGUGAGUUAUGAAUUGUAUUAAACAGUAUUGGGACCUAGUUAAAUAAUAUUAAUUAGCAGUGACAUGAUAUAAUGUAACGGAAUACACUUUUUAAGUGUCUUUGCUUCACUUCAUCGUUAGAUUUUCUACCAUUAUCGGGGAAUCCUAAGUCAUCUUAACUAUGUACCUGUCUGUCGGGUGAUUUUGAGUGGAUGCAAGAAUAAGUGUUGACGAAUAGACAAAACUACGACACACUAUAAAAAGUAGGAUAACCCAUUCAUUUACUUUUCAAAGUAAAAAAGUUAUAUAAAUAAUUUUAUAAGUCUUCAAAAUCAUCCUAAAUUUGAUAUGUAAAGAUCUUAAUAGAAUAUAUUAAUCCUCGUUAAAUUGACUAGUUCGGCAACUUGAAGUUCCUACUAAAGAACUAAUCCUCACGAGAUGCUCUGGUUAAAACUUUUUUUUUUUUAAUUUCUACAUUUCAUUCAUCUUCACUGAUAAAAAAUUAAUACAUUUGUAAAAAAGAUAAAAUCAAACCUAACCAACAAAUCAUAAUAUUAAGUAAUUCAUAUGUAUUUUCUUUUAUAAUAUUUAAGAUCAAUUGAUAAUUUAGUUUUUAUAUUUCCACUUUAAAGUUAAUAUCAAUUUAACAAUAGAGAUGGCAUUCACUCUAUUUAACUAAGAGACUUAAUUAAAUAAAAAAUUAAUGAUUAAAUUAUUUCCCAAUUAUAAGACCUUCAUAUAGUUUAUAUUAUAUACUAAUGCUUUCUUAAGGUUGAACAUCAAUAAAACAAAAUAAGUAUUUUUAAUACAAGUGCUAUUUAAUUUCUAUAUAAUUAAAUGAUGAAAAAGUAUGCCAUUUUCUUUAUUUACAAUAUUAUAUAUGUAUCAAAUAUUAUAUAUUUGGAAUGUAUAGAAAAUAAAGAUUUAAGUUAUGUAAAAAAAAAAAAUACUUAGUAAUUUAGUUCUUAUAUUUAAGUUUACUAUUCAUUUUGAUUAUUAAUUUUUUUAUACAAUUGAGUUUAAUAUUUUUGUGUGAUUCAAUUGAGUUUUAAAUUUAUUAAAUAAAAUCAAUAUGGUCCAAUAUGUUAAAUUGUCCUUAGCCUUAUUUAGAUAGUAUUAUGUAUUAAAAUUUAGAUUAUCAUCUAUUUUAGAACGUGUCAAAUGUUACAUUUGACUGUUUGAAAGUAGAAGGUGAUUCAAAAUUUGAAUGGAUUGAUCCAAUUUUUUAAGUGAUAUAUUUCAAAUAAUCUAAACUUCAAAUUUAAUGGAACGAACCAUGUUAACUCUUUUUUAAAUAAAAAAAAUAGAAACUCAAUUAAGUACUUUUUAAAAUAAAGACUCAAUUGAGUCUAUUUAAAAAUAAGUACUAAUUAAACCAAAAAAUUACUACAAAAACUUAUUUGAUUGGUUUAAUACUCUUAACUUAAUAACCCAAACCAAAAUUGCAUAAUUAUAUCAUAACAUUAAAUCUAGAUAGGUGUUCUACUAUAAGCGUUAACACCAAAGAUGAUAUAACAACUUUUACAAAAUCAAUGUCAAGUAAUUGAAUAUAUAAUAUGAAUUUUGAGGACGAAGGAUAUAGAUUCAAAUAUGAGACUCAGUAGCAUUCCCCUCAUAUUUUAAACCUUUUGACAAUACACAAAAAGAUCUCAUAAACCUCUACUUAGAAACAACAAGGCCAAAUCUUAAUAAUAUGAAUCAAAGACAUAGUCAACAAUUAAACAAAUCAUUCUAACACCAAAACAUGAUUAAAAGAAGAUUGGACCUCCACCAAAAAAAAAAACAAGGUUCAUCAUCGUUACUACAUAUAGAUAAUUGGGUAUCACUAGUAAAAAAUAAGGAUUAUACAGCGCACAUUAUGCCACGGUUCACCAGAAACCGCAGCAUAAUGUUGCGCGGUGGCAGUUUUGUAAAUAAAUCGAACUUAUAUGCCGCGGUUCCCCACCUAACCACCGCAUAUACCCCAGUCAACCAUCACCUUUGACUCCACGUCAGAAAAAAAAUUUAAUAACAGGAGAAUAUGUCGUGGUUCUCUGCCAAACCGCGACAUAUACCCCUGUAACCUCCUGACAUCCCCAUCAGUCAGCCCCUGCAAUAAAUUGGCAGGGGAAUAUGUCGCGGUUCUCUGACCAACCGUGGCAUAUUCCUCUGCCAAUUUAUUGUCGGGACUAACUGAUUGGGAAUGUCAGCAGGUAGCAUGGGGAAUAGGCCGCGGUUGGUUAGAGAACCGCGGCAUAUUCCCCCUGCUACCUGCUGACAUUCCCAAAAAGGCAGUUGGGAGGCAGUUGGGGGGAUUCUAAACGUUGGAGAAUAGGUCGUGGUUGGUCAGAGAACCACGGCAUAUUCCCUGAUCUGAGUAAAUUUUAAAAUUUUCAGAGUAUAUGCCGCGGUUGGGCGCUGAACCGCGACAUAUAAGUUAAAAAAAAUUCAAAAAUGCCAUUAUGGAUUAUUUUUUUUAAAUGAAUAGGUCGCGGUUAAGUGUAGAACCGCGACAUAUUCCCCCUUUAUGCCCCGGUUAAGUGUAGAACCGCGGCAAAUUCUCUUCUGAAGGUUAAAAAAAUAAAAAUCGCGAACAAUUUCGUCUUCUUCGCGAAACAGUUUCAGACCUGCGUUUUGCUUCCUUCUCCGUUAACGAUGACCCUGUUCUUCCAUUCUCUCAUUUUGUUCGGUGCAUUUGCCAUUUUUUACGUUGGGGAAGAUUUUUGACCGAUCAGAAUCGUCAUUUUCUACCCUGAGAUCGUGAACUGCAUUUUGUCGCGCCCAUUCCAGGUACUUCCUUUAUGCCCUCGUCAAGUUUUUAAGCCUCUAUGUUUGCUUUCGUUUCUUGAUGCAUAUGUUGUUGUGGCUUUGAUUAUUUUUGUCGAAUUUGUUGUGGUUUCGGUCGUUCUUGAAGAGGCAAAGUAUGUUAGCUUUUAUUUAAGUUUUUAUUUUUUUUUAUCAGCAAUUUUUUUUUUAAUAAUAUGCUAUGAACUUUUUUUAUUUCAAUUUUUAUUUAUGUAAUUAUGUGUGAUUGAAACCUCAAGCUUGAGGCAGAUGCUAGACCACCAUCUCAGAGUGGUAGCCCCCCUCAGCCUCCUUCUCCCCCGUCUAGACAUGAAAAAUGGAAGCUGGCUCGUAUGAGACCAUCGGGCACCUACUCUUCCGACACUGCAAGGGAGAUUUCUGAAAGAAUUGUAAGUUAUCACUGUUCCUAAAAUAAUAAGUAUUGUCAUUAUACAUACUACAUUAAACUAUUUAAAGAAUAAUGAUGUUUUGUAAUGUUACAGGACAUCUUGGUUGAGCAGAGCUCCCAAGGUCAAUUCACUCCAGAGGGUCGCCAGGAUAUUCUUGCUGCUGCGAUUGGACGACCUGAGCACCCUGGACGUGUACGUGCUGCAGGUCCUGGAGUAGGAAUUAAACAUUAUUUUGGGAGCUCUUCUCGUCAGUCUUCAUAUGCAUACAACGAAAUACAAAGAGAAAUGAUGACAGAAGAGAUCAGAAAAAAGGUCCGAGAAGACCUUAGAGAGGAGAUCAGGGCCGAGGUUAGAUUAGAGAUGAGGGUUGAAUUCAGCGCUAUGUUUCAGCAGGAGUUUCAGACCUAUGGCAUGCGCCCGGUGCCAUCUCCUGUACAGGAACCUGUUAUCCCUCCCACAGGUAAACUUAAUAAACAUUUAUGUGCAAUUAUUUCUAUCUUUUGUAUAAUCUAACAUUUACUAUGACAGGGAGAAGCGGGAAAGGAAGUUGUUCCGCACCAGCCAUCCCAGAGGAUGACAUGGACGAUGGUAGUCCAUGUCUGCUAUACAUUUUAGAGGAUACCGAGAUGGUCCUGGUAGCUCGUGGAACAGAGUUUAGGUCAGCGACUGUAUGUCAUGGUAUGCAACUAUUAGAGGAUGAGGUGAAGGUCUCANUGGAUGAAAUGAUCAUANNNGAUGCCUCGGUUCCUCUGGCCACAGAAGAGAUUUUCACUGUGGAACAAGCAUUUAAGUCGUUUAUCACUUGGCCUAAAUUUUUGGUUAAACCAGUUUCUGACCCCUCGGUAUGAAAUUCUUCUUUACACUUCUCAAUUUUAAAGGUUUUUCAUGUCAAAACUUAUCUUAUUUUUUCAUGUAACAAUAGACGCAGGCACAGGAGAAGAUUCCUCUAUCUGAGGAUGAUCCUCUUGCUUCAUUGCAUCUACUUGCUGACAUCCUUGAUGAGAAGCCUUUGGAGGUUGAAUAUGAUGCUAAUGUAUUUGGGAGAGGCUCUAAGAUCCCAAUAUACCUUCAUAGCCAAGAUGUCCAUGAGCUUGCGUCGGGAACACAAGAGUUGAAUAUUUCAAUUAUUCAGCUAUGGAUGAUGUAAGUCUAUGAACAAUUAUUUAUAUAUAAAAUUGAUUUAUAUAUCAAGUAUCCUUAUAUCAAAGUUAAUUUUUGAUUUCAGGUAUAUGUCUGGGGUCAGUAACAAGUUGGGGCGUUCUGAUGAUUAUGGAUUCAUUGAUCCCCAAUCAAUUCAUGAAUCAAAUGAUUUUGAGCAGAUCAACAUGAAUCUGAUAAGAAGUUUUGGAAGGGGCAAGAAAAUAUACUUUUUGCCUUAUAUAUCCGGGUAAGUGAACUUUGUUAACAUAAUAAAGUUCCAUAUGUGAUUUUCAUAUUUAAUAGUUACGUUAUUAUGAAUUUCAGGCGUCAUUGACAACUUCUUGUUAUGUCUAUGCAAGAGAACUAUGCUUUGUGGUUUUGUUCAUUGCACAUGCCUCCUCCCACACAACUCAGACAAGCAAUUGAUUGGUAAGAACCUCAAUGUUUGGACUUUCUUUGUUAUAUAAAUGAAUGCUAAAACCUUUUUUUAUAUAUAGUUCUAUUCCAGCAAGUAUGAUGAUGGGUGGGAGAUCAAUUGCUAAUAGUAGAAAGAUUGCUUGGAUUUCUCUCAAGGUUUGACAUAUGCUAAAGUCAUACUUUGUUAUAGUUGUUUUAUUUUAAUGUUAUUCACUAACUAUUAUCAACUGUGAUGAUAUAUUGUAGUGUAACAGACAAAAUGGGUCAUAUGAGUGCGGAUAUUAUGUAAUGUAUUGGAUGACCCAUAUUGUUCGUUCUCACAUCACAAGUCGUUGGGAAACGGUAAUAUUUAACUUUAACAAAUUUUGAUUUUUUUUCCCAAAUGUUGAAUUCAUAUACACUAAUUAAUAUGAAUUGUCUUUUGCAGAAAUUCAAGACUACUACACCAGUUCCUGAGAAGUCACUAUUAUUCAUAAGGAACGCUGCUGCGAAGUAUAUAAUUAGAUUAUACAAUAGCUCUUAGUUAUUAGAUUUAAACAUUGCAUUUGAUUAGAUUGUAUUUUAUUAGACUUUGUACUUUAUUUGAUGUUGAAAUUGAAUUUGUGUACAUGUUUUUAUAUGCAGGUCUGUUUUUGUGGUAGUGGAUAUCACAAAAACAAACCUGCAAUUUUAAAAAACUGCAGGGGAAUAUGCCGCGGUUGUGACCACAACUGCGACAUAAAGUGCUCGUUUUUUUUUUUAAAAAAAAUAGACAUAUGGCCGCGGUUAGUGCUAGAACCGCGGCAUAUACCUAUGUCUUUUGCCGCGGUUGAACCGCAACAUAUACUGGACCAAUUUUUAUUUUUUUUAAAAAAAUGGAUUUAGGCAGCGGUUCCUUGGACAACCGCGGCAUAUUCCCCAACUUAUAUACCGCGGUUUUAACCGCGGCCUAAAGUCUCUGAUUUACUACCGCGGCGGAAUAUGCCGCGGUUCGUAAACCGCGACGUAUAGUGGAAAAGAACCACGGUAAAAACCCCUCGCUACACUAGUGUAUGAGUAAGGUGGUUAGUAAUAUAAAAUAUAUAAAAUCUUGUAAGACCGAUAAUUUAUUUAAUCAUAAAAUCUUGUAAGAACUUAUUUAAACCUAAAGUGUUUUUGCAAGUAACCGGCUCACAAAGAAAACCAAAAAAACGGAUAAACUUGAAAGUACUGAGAAUAUGUGGAUUGAGAAGACCGAGAACUUAAAAAAAGAAAAAGCUUUAAUAAUAAUCAAAUAACGCCGUUUUUCUUUUCAGAUUAAAAGAUUGGAGUGGAAUAAGACAUAAUAGUUAAUUAUUUAUUAGUAUUUAUGUUUCUAUUUGUUAUAAUAAAAUAAACAUUUAUUUAAUAAAAUAUUACGAAAGAAAAAAAAUAAUGUCUUUAAACACAAAUCAUCUCCACUUAAAUUUACUUUCAUCCUUCUUAAUCAAAACAACAUCACUAAUAAAAAAAAUUGAUUCUCUCAAAUUGGGAGUUUUGAUUAACUCAAUUUAAUAAUGAGCAUUAGUAUCGAGAUCAUUAACUCACUAAUAUUAAAAACAUCACUAAUAUAACCAAUAUCCCUUUGCUUAAUAAGACCUGGACUGCAUGACUCCUGAAGGGCCCGAUAUCAAGGUUCAGAUACCCAUAUAAACUUUGUUCCACACCAAAUAACAUAUUAUAAUCUAAUCAUUCCUAUUUAUGGAUUCCAAGAAGGCUUUUCAACAUUAUAGAUAUUUAACACAAGAUAUUAUGUGCAUACUUUUUCAAACCUUUUUACAAUGACACAUGCUUUGGAAAAUAAUUACUAAUAUUACGUGUAAAUCACAUACUGCAAUUGUCAAUUAAUUAACAAUUCCACUUGCUCAUAAAACAAUGCAUCUUAUGAUCCAAACGUCAUUUUGAAUGUUUAAGCGUAACGUUAAGGCCACGAACACGUAUUACUUAAAUAAUAAAUUCGCUAUAUAUUUUUUAUACACUGUUAAUUAUUACCUUAAACAUAUCAAGAAAAUCAUUAAACAUAUUCAUGGUUAUUUUUUAAUUAUUUUGAAAAAAAGGUAGUAGUGCUUUAAAAAAUGAUCGAAAAUUGGUAAAUAGAAAGAUGGUAACUAAAUAUGAAUUAAAUUGAGUAAAAUGUUGUAUUGAAGUGAGUGUGUAGCUAAUAAGAUUAAAGAGGAGAGGAGGUGGACCAAAGGCAGCGGAGAUAUAGUCAAAGAUGUCAUGGUUGAAGUUUUGUGAUGGAUGGGUUUUUGAAGGAUGACGAUGAAUAAUACGUCAAAUCAAAACGUGGCACAUGUGAGUUGUUUUAUAUUUUUUGCCCCAAAUUGAUUGCGAGAGGGAAAUAGAAAUGGAAGAUGACAUUGAUAAAUGGUAAGUAAGGAAAGCAAAAAGGGAUUGGUGACACUGCACAUGUUAAGUUUCAAACCAUCCAUACUGAAAGAGCUUCUUCUUCUUCUUCCCUGACAUGAUCACAACCUCCAUUCACUUUCAGUCAAAAACCUUUUAAUUAAAAUAUUCAACCACUCUCUUCUCAUCAUUGCUUUUACGUUCAAACCAAACAAAUAAUUAAUUAAUGGCUUUAAACUCCAUCUAAUUAAUUAUGUUGAAGCAUGUUUGGAUUUAUUAUUAUAUUUUUCUGUUGAAAGUUGAAACCAACGUCAUGGCAUGUGAUGUUUGGGGGCACAGAAGAAGCACAUAGUAUGUGAAAACCACCAACAUAUACAAAACCUAUCUUCAAAACUAUUGGGAUCUUUUCCCUCAUUCAGAAACACAUCACACGCCUCCAGAUUCCUUCCCCAUUCUUCCACGCUUUCUGUGACAGCUAACCCAAACCAACACCUUUCCUUUUCUCAUUCUACUUUCUUCCCUACCAUCUCUAUCAACACCCCCUACUUAGUACACACUGCAUUAUUAAUUUUCCUAAUUAUGAAUAUCACCUCACCUCUAUUUUUAUAAAUGCAUCUCUCCUUCAAACACAUACACACACACUGUCUGUCACACCUUCUUUCAAUAAACAUCCAUGCAUUUCUCUAAAAUUAAUAAAAUACACACAUUUCCAAACACUAAACCGCUUCGGUUUACACUUUUGGUGUACCUAAAAUUAAUUUCACCCACAUUUCAAUUCAAAUCAAUAAUUUCAAAUUAAUUUCAUUAAUUACGGUUUUACUCACCUUUAACAACCAUUAAAGUUUAACUGUGCCAACAAUAAUUAAAGGAUUUGACUCUGGGGAAAAAAUGCAGCUAAAGUAAACGAGAAGAAGCUAGACAGUACUUUGAAUUACAUCCCAGAACCGUAGCUCAUUACUACCACGGAUAAAAGUAUAACCGCGUUAAAAGUCAACCAAAAUGUCAUUUUGAAUUGGAAGAAAUAAAUCAAACGAAGGAGAAACAGUGGAGAUUGGGGGAAAACGGCAUAAUUUAUACAUACAAUUAAAGCAGGAUUAUUCCCUUCUCUCAUUAAGCAUUACAAAUUCUGAACGGAUCUCUCUAACCGGCAUGAAUGGCAAUAAUAAAACAGAAAUUAUAUAAGAAUCUUACAGAAAAUCCGAAAAGGGGCAAUAAUAAAUAGAAGAAAGAGAAGCGAUUCAAGAAGCAGCGGUAGAAGAAGAAGGAGAAGGACCUGAGGCUCUGGGAGAGGUGGUGGGGAAGAGAGGGAGCAGGCGAGGUUCGGCGUCUCUGGGAGUAGAAGCGGGAGAAGGGUGCAAGAAGAAACCCUUCUCCUUAAUGGCUUUAUCUUCGGCCUCGGAGUCCAGGGAAGGGGGCGCGUUGGAUCGGUCGAACGGGUCGGGUAUGAGGGGUGUGACGGGGCUCAGGACGAGUGCGGGGAAGUCGAGGAUGCUGGGGGAGAGCAUGUCGGGUUUGCGAGGCGAGAAAAACGAGGUGAGGGGGUUGAUGUUGAGGUUGUUCUUGAGGGAGUUCGUCCUCCGCUCGUACAGCUUGAACUGCUGCUGCUUCUUGUUCGGAACGGAUUUCAUGGGCGGGAUGCUGUGGGUCGGGUUGGCCGCGGGUUUCGAGGAAGCUUGUUUCGCUGUCUCCGAGGAGCCUGUCAGCAUUUGGACUACUUGCUUGAAGGAGGACGUGUCCGCUUGGACGAACGUUGUCGGGUACGGGCUUCCGGGUUCGGAUCUAGCGACGGCUUUGGGAGAUUGCAGUCCCUGCCAUGGUUUGUGAUUGUCUUGGUGUCUCGGGGAUAUGGAAUGAUUGGAAUCCAUGGCUGAAAUGAGAGAAAAACAAAAGGAAGACGAAAAAGAAAUAGAUGAGUGAGUAGACAAAAGUGAAGACUAGAUGAGACUUUUUUAACUUUGUUUUAUUUCGUUUAAGAAAAAAUAUGAAAUGUGUCGUAGAGACCUUAGAUUCUUGAACUUCGGUCCCUACGCGCUAUCUACUGCUUGUGUGCUACACUGCACUGACAGUGAUUACUCAUAAUACAUUGUCUGCACUUUGUACUCUACUAAAUAUGUGACAUGCAAUAUUAUUGGAAACUCUUUCUUUUCCUUCACAAUAAUUAAUACAUGUGUGUAUUCAUUUGCAUAUUAUCAUCUCCUUUUCUUCUAAAUUUCAAUUCACCAAACUAAACUAUUUUAUUUUAUAUUCAUUAAGACUAUUAUUAAAUUCAUUUACUCAUCAAAAUUUAUAUUUCCUAAACUUCUUUCCUUCUAUCCUAUACUUUUAUUGAAGCUCCUGUUCAAACUUCAGUUUAUAAGUAUUUUUUAAAAUGAUAAUGUUAAGUUGAUCCAAAUUCAUUAAACAUUGACAUAUUUUAUUACAUUUGACUACAAAUGAACAUUUAAUAGUAGAAAGACUUUUAUGGUAAAUUAUACAUUUAUAUUAAAUUAUGUUUAAUGUUAUAUCUACGUUAAGACAAAUUUUCAGAGUUAAUUUGUCUGGUUAUAGCACAAUUUAUUGUAGGAACUGCAACUGAAACUAUUUUUUUAUCAUAUAUCAACUAUAUUUGAUAAGUUGAAAUUGAAUUUACUUAAUUUAAAAACAAAUUAACUGCCUUUGUAUUUUACUUCAAUUUAAUAAAAUUUAAAUAAAAGUAUUCAUGUCGAUCUGUGUCUCUGUUUUUGGUAAAGAAAAUAUUUAUGAAGCAUGUAUCAUUAGUUGUCUUUUUACUUUUAUAUAUUUAUUAUUAAAAUACACCAUUCAUUGUUUGGUAUAAAGAGGACAGUGAAAAGAAAGGAAAUAAAUGGAGGAAAAAAUAUGUCCUCUCUCAUUUUUCUUUGUAUUCUUCUCGGAUAUAUUAAGUUUUUUUAUACUUUAAUGGAAUCGAAUAAAUAAUAUAAAUUUCUUUACUUUUCUGAUCUUUUUCAUACCAAACACUGACAUGAAUCCUCUACAUCCAAUGUUUCUUCGGGUUGUUAUCUUACAAUGCCCUUUUAAAAUAAAUUUUAGAUGUUAAUAUAUGUUUUUAAUUUAAUUUAUAACUUUUAAAUGAGUUAUAUUUUUCAUUGUUGAGAAUUUUUUUCUGAAGAUAAUGGAAAAAGGCCAAAGAUUUAGAAUAUAUCAAACCUUCUUAUGUUACAAAUUGUAUUUUAAUGAUUGACUCGAAGAAAGAAGGAAAAAUAAAUGUAUACAGUCAAGUUAGAUUUGCUAAAGAAAUUUAUAAUAAUUUAUUACUUCUUAUGGUACGACUAAUUAGUUAAUAGAAUUAUGGUUUUGGAAUUCAUGAAAAUCCAAUUUUUCCAGUUAAAAUGUUAAUAAUACUUUCCCAAAAUAACAAAUUUUAGAACGAAUUCACAAUUUUUCUUUUCUUUUUUUCUUUUAUUUUCAACAACAAUGACCGUUGGUGCCCAAAAGAAACGUUUCUUGAAUAUCAAAAUAUCACUUUGAUAUUUUUAUAUUAUUAUACUUAAAAUAAUAUAUUUAUAUUUGAAUUGCUUUCAAUUAAAAUGGUUUAUUUUCUCAUUAGUGACUAUAAAAUCCAACAUGAAAAAGCAACUUAAAAAUAAAUAAUUAAUGCACUUUUUCUUUAAUGUUUGAAAGAGAUAACUAAAAAUACACUCGAUAAAUUACGUUAAGAAUUUCGUGAAAUGAUAUAAAUUUUCUCAUAGAAAUACACAGUUACAAAUAUCUUUUCAACAAUAAAAUUAAUUAGUAUAUUAUAAGGAAUGUGAGUGUACUGUAAAAGUUAACUUAGUAGUAAACAAACAAUUGUAUACAACUAGUACUUUUUUUUUAAGAACAUCGAUUUUUGUUUUUAUUAUAAUUAAAAUUAAAUUAAGAAGUUAAAUAUAAAUAUUAUAUUUUAAAUUAUAUUUCGUCUGAAAAAUUAUAUAAGUCAGUUAAUACGAAUUAAAAAUACAAUAAUAAAUAUAGAAAUAUAUCAUUAACAUUUUAAAUUAUUUUGAAAUAUAUAUAUAUUUAUAUAUGUACAAUGGACUCACGUGUUAGAAAAUUAUUUUUAUAUAAUUAUAUUUUCUUUUUAGUUUUAUAAUUCUAAUAUUAAGAUGCUCGAAAAUUAUCACUUAAAAACUUGAUUUUUAAUUAAAAUGUGAUAAAGCCUAAACCUUAAAAAUCUACAACCUAACUUGAAAAAAAAAAGAUUGUGAAAAAUUACUAUACACUGUUUAAAGUCAUAGAGAGAACUGCUAGCUAAUAGUUGCUGAUGAAAAAUCAUCAUUUAAUUUUCUAAUUUCACCAUGUUAUUUGUACUCGAAAAUUAAGCAAUGUAAUAAAAAAAUAAGGAAAAAUAAGUAAUGCAAUAAAAAACGAAGGAAAAACAAUUAUUUAUUAGACAAAAAGGACAAAAUACUGUAUAGUCAUAAACUUUAGUAUGUCAAAUUUACAUAUCAGCGUCAAAACAAUUUUCUUUUAAGAAAGAUAAUUAUUUGAUAUACCUACAAUUUUUACAUUUGAAAAUAUUUUUCUUUAUUUAUUUUUCUUUUUCUUUUGAAAAAUAUAAAAAAUUAUAGUUAUUUUAAUUUUGCAGUUUGUAUCAAAUGAAUGUAAAAAUAUAAUAUUAUAUAUAACUCUUUUUUAUUAUUAUUAAAGGAAAAAAGAAAAACAACAAACCACAUCAUAAAAAGAAAAAAUUAGGACUUAAUCUAUGUAAUAAGCUUAAGCAACAAAUGAUGGAAGUACUUAGCCUUCGACGGUCAUGAACAUUGAACUCGUAUUCAUAUAUAUAAUAAUUUAUAUUAUACGUCACUCAUUAAACUCGUAUUCAUAAAUCUAAUUAUUGAUAAUGAUAAGAGAGGUUUUUUAAUAUUCAAUGGUCAUAAACAUUUUUUUUUUAAAAUCUUAUUUAAAUUUUUGUAUAAUUUAUCGAACUAAAUUGUUUCCUAAAACAUGACUAUUGAAAUGAAAAAAGAUAUUAUUAAAUAAAAUUGGUAUCCUUUGAAAACUGAACCAAUAAUUGAACCGGUGAAAUCAUCGUUUUAGGAUUUAUUCGUCUAACCAAUAUGAUAAUAUAACUUAAUAAUACUAAAAGUAAAAAUAAAAUAUUUUAUACGUUUCUAUCAUAUAAAAUGCAUAUAAAAUUCAAAUAUAUGAAUGAUAAUAUUUAGGAUUAAGGUUAACUAACACAUAAUACUGUUCAUUGAAAAUAUUAAGGUUUUUUUGAAAAGAAAGUGAGAAAUGUUUUACUUUUUUAUUUUAAAAAAUGAAAAUAACAUUUGAAAAUAUUUGUAUAAAAAAUAUUGUUGAGUGACUUUGGAUCCAUUUUGUCUUUUUUUUUGGGGACCACUUAAAUCGGAGAGCGAUUUUGUAGUUAUAAUAGGCUGAACAUUAAAUUAUUUCACCAAUUUUCAAGUUAACGGCCUUAUUCUAUUAUGACGACAAAGAAAAUAUUAUUCUUAAAUUAAAACAUAUUAGAAGAUUGUUUUGGACUUUAAACAUCAUUUUAUCUUCAAAUAAUAAUAAUCAUUCAUACAUUAAAAACAUUCUAAAUUAAUAAGAACAGUAUUUUUAAUUUUUAAAACUUAAAUAUAAUUUUGGUGUAAAAAAUGUUUGAUCUCACUUCUCAUAAUUUUUUCUCUCAUUUUGAUUCACAAAUAUAUGAAAUGUCGUGUUGACUCUUAAUAUCAACAGUAUUAUAUUUGAGAGACAUUUAUCAAUGUGACAUCUUAUAUUAGUAUAAACAAACUACUAGUAUAUACAUCCAUAUUAGAAUAUAAAACAAUUUCAAUUUAACAUAAAAAUAAAUUAAAAAGUGUAAGUGAAAAUAUUUUAGCAAAUAACAAUUUUAAUAAUAUCCUAUGAUAUUCCUUGUUUUCUUUUAAAAUAACUGAUAAGAAGGUAGAAAGGUAGAGAAAGUAAAGACACGCGUGUAUAGUGAGUUGCAUUUGAGAGGGUAAAGGAUUGAAUGCUGUGACACAUAAAGUAAAAAAAGAGUCAAAAAGGUAUUUAAUAUUUGGCAUUGACUAAUAUAAACCAAUAAAAAUAAUCUUCAUAAUAUCUUUGUCAUAUCCUCUUCCUUUUUCUCCUUAUAAUCUCCAAAUAUAAUUAUAACAUACACACUUUAGUCAAGGAAAAAUUCCAUACCAAAAUGGUAGUUUGAUAUUAGAGUUACUUUUUCCCCUUUUAAACGCAUUCAUCUCAGUCUACUUCUUUUUCAAUUUUAUGGUAGUAACGUAAAUUGGAAAUAAAAAAUUACAUGAGUCAGUAAGUUCUACAUAAAUUUAAUUUGAUAAUAAAAAGGUUUUAAUAUAAAGUAUAUAUUAUCUCAUGUUCAAAUUUCAUUUAACCUAACUAUAUCGAAACUAUUAUAAGAAAAUUAAAGACAUUAAUAUUUAGAGAUUAUUAAUUGUCUGCAGCUGUUAAGAAUCCCAAGAGCAUCAUCUAAUUGGGCCGAUAUUAGAGUUCUUGGUCCAGAUUUAGAAAUAGAGUAUUUCAUUAUACAAGUAUAAGCAUUUAGCUUUCAACCUCCAAUUUCUUAAAAUCUUCUUAAUUAAUAAGUGGUUUAAAAUUUUAAUUUUUGUAUUAUUGAAAAUUUCUAUAAGCACCAUUGAUUUCAUCUCCAUUUUACUCCAAUCACCAAAUAUUCAUUCCUACACCCUACACCCUUGCAUCUACACCCCAUUUCAUAUUUGUAUGUUUACAUUAUAUACUUCUUAUAUUAGUUUAAUUUUUUUUAAUACCUCUUAUAUUAGUUUAUUUAUUUAUUUUAAUUUUAUGAAUGAGUUUAUAAUGUAUUAUGUAAUUUCUAAUUAAUGUAAAAUAAUUUUAUGAAUGUAUUAAAACUAAUCAAAUUAAUUUUGAAUGAGAAAAAAAUUAAAAUUAAAAUAUCAAAUAUGAGAAUUCGAAUAUACUAAAAUCGGAUGUGAAUAUUAACUAUUCUGGUGUGGACAUCCGACUAAUGUUUACUAAUUUGUAUAAAAGUUUCAUAAUAUUUUUUAUUUAAUUAUUUUUUUACGGAAGAAAUCUAAUAUUUUUGAAAAAAAAAACAAAAAAGCUUCAUAUUAUAAAAAAAUAAAAAAGUUCAAAACAAUUGAAAACAAAAUUUAAUGAGUUUAACUAAUUCCUUAAUAUAUUAUUUGAAAUAAAUAAUUAUACAUUCUAUAAAAUUUAUUAUUUCAUUGAAAAUAAAUAAAUUUAAUUCAAAUAUUUAUAUAAAUAAAUCAAUUAUUAAAAUAUAACAAUUUAAUUAAAAUAAAAUUCAAAAAUAAGAUUACCCAAAAUUGAAAUAAAUCAUUAAUUAAUUAGUAUAAUUAAUUAAUUAACAUCCAAAAUAACUUUAAAAAAAUUAAACAGAACAUUAAAUGACAAAAGAUAUAACUGCUACUAAACAUUAAAUACGAUCUACAUCGGAUGAUGCAGACUCAAUCGGUUAUCGAUAUCCGAUUCAGUCCUAUCGUCUCUCCAAAUCCGAUUGCAAACCACUCUUCUACCAUCUUUCAUUACGGUAUAAAAAAAUGUCAGAACACACCAAUGCUAUCAAACACAAUCAAAUGCUUAAAAAACAGUAAGACAAUCAACCGUAUGGGUGGUUGCAAGGAGAAAACGAACUUCAACUGAACACAAUGCUCAUGUUUGUGUGUGACUGCAAAAUGCAAUUAAAGUCUGAAAGUGUGCUCCGAGAACGGAGAAAGGAAGACGAAAGUGAAAGGGAGAGGGAAGUGCAACAAUGCCUGAACGGUCGUCUGUGUGCAAAGUGAUAUGCGAGGAUGGAGAGAAAAAAAGCAUACCAAGAGUGAUGUGUGCUGUGUUGUGCGAGAAUGGAGAGUAGUGUUAUGAGAGGCAAGUAGAGAGAGAGAUAACUCAAUAAUGAGAUGCAACACAAAAAUGAGAUGCAAGAGUGAAGCUGUCUGCAUGCACUGCUGCUACAAAAGAAUUUUUUGACCACUUUAAUUAUUUUGAGUAUUCAAAUCAUUUUAAUUACAAGGUAAGUUUGGUAUUUUGAAAAAAUUUGGAGAUACAGAAUAGAAUGUUUGGAGGUGCGGGUAAAACCCUCUUAGAAAUAUCUUCUAGAAAAUUCAAUCUAAAAAAUAUUAGAAAUAAAAGGUGAAAGUACUUUUAUUAUAUUUUUAAUGACAGGUAAUUUGGGAAUAACACUUUUAUGGCAUAGGGAAUAGGGAGAAAAACAAAAGGUGCACGAAGAAGCACCAUAAAUUAAAAUAAUUACUAGCAAUGAAAAAAGCGAGAAAACAUUAAUUAACAAGAGUCUGGUUAAAAGAUAUAAAACUAAGUAUAAUGAUUUAAUCUUUGAAUAUAUAUAUAUAUAUAUAUAUAUAUAUAUAAUAAUAAUAAUAAUAAAACAUUCAAGAAAUAUUGUUAAAAUAUCAUUAUCUAUUCAAUUUUCUCUAUUCGAGUUCCCAAUUCGUGUUUCACAUGGCAUAAAAGAUCGUAUAAUUGUAUCAAACAAAUUACCAGAUAUAAAGCAUGUAUGAUUGUAUCAAACAAAUUACCAAAUAUAAAGCAUGUUUUUCAUACUACUUUGGUCGAUAGAUAGAAUAUCUCUAUCAAACAAAUUACAAGAUAGCAUGUUUUUUAUGCUAAUUUGGUCGACUUUAGACCGCACGAUGACACACUAAACUUGCCAACCUGGAAACUUGUAAACCACAAUAAUUUAGAGCCCAAUUGAGCGUAUCACAAUUUAGAAAUUUGGUGAUUCCAUUUAAAAUGCUAAGGUCUGUUACUCAUAAUCCGUUGUAGCAUAGAAAAAAAAAAACUCAAAGUUCGGAUUGUAACUUUUGGUUCAAAGAAGUUAAUUGCAAAAUUUUGGCCGACAAAGAAAGUGCUAUUCUGAGCGUGAUCUGAUCCCAAAUGAAACGCCAUCACCUCCCAUACACAUCUGACCUGCACCGACCCCAAGAAACACACCUCAUCCAUGAGUAAAUACUAUUAACCGAAUACAAGCAUUGAUUAUCGAUCAACAACAUCUAACGACUUCAAAUUGCAAGCAUUGAUUAUCGAUCUACAACCAUUUAAUAUACUAAAGCCGAAUACAAAAUGACAACGAAAUUAGAAAGUAACAUAUGAUACUUCAAUUACCACUUUUCUAAUAAUUAAGUUUCACUCGAAAGCAACACACAAUUUCCUUUUCCAAACUCAGUUUAUAAAAUGAAAUCGAUUGAAACUUAAAUUUGACAACUUUGAUACAAACAAUCACUAAGAUGGCCGCAGAGUCAUCAGUAAAAAUUAAUUGAACUUGGAAGGCUGAGGUUUAUAGCAUGAGAAAGUAGAGGUCAGCACGACAAAAACCAAGGCUUAGGAAAACAUUUUAAGUUGUAACAAGGUAACAUACAGGACUAAAAAUGUCAGUCUAAGGGAUAGUCUUGACAACGUCUUAAAUGUAUAACAGAUUGCCGAACCGUUAUCCUCAUUUCAAGAGAUUAAAUCGAAUAAGUAAAGAUGCAUAGAAAGCUCCUACCAGUAGAAUCCCAAAUGACCCGUACCUAAGGAAGAUUUAGAAUUUUAAUCAUUAGGAAUUCAUGAAAUUUUCUUGUUUACACGACAAAGGUAUUUCCAAUACUCAACCAACUUAAACGCAGCAGUCCGAUACUAAUACCAGCAAUGUGACUAUAAUAUCUUUGAAAAUUACUAUUUGAAACAGGAACAUCACAAGGAAAUCAGGCAAUAGAUACUUCGAUAAUCAAUAAUAUCACAUAAAUAAUGAUAAGGAAUAAUAGCAAUGACUAGAAAACUCUAUUAUAAAGCAAGGCUAGCAUACUACUAUUACAUCCAAAACAAAUACAAAAAUGCCAUAUAUCUUCGUAAUAAGCAAUUAACCAAGAAAAAAAAAUUUGAUCUUGAAAAAAGAGUCGGAGAACAGAGUACGCAACUUCUUAACCCCCAAAAAUAGGGUAUGAAGUAAAUUCAAUUACCUCUCAAGCUUGAACGUCUAUCUGCUUAUCUUCCACAUCAUUGGUGGUACCAGUUUCUGCCUCCUCAGUACCCUCCGCCGGAGGCUGAGCUUGCUCAUCCUCCGGAAGUGGCUCCUCCACAUAGUCAUUUUCAAACGCAUCAGCCGGAACCUCAUAAAUCCUAACUUGAGGCUUGGACGGAUCCUUCACAAGGACAUAUUUUCCCUCGUUCAAUUUCAUGCACAAAUCAACUAUAGACUUCACAAUACCCCACAUAUUAGCAGUAUUCAAAUUGAUCUGUGCUGCAAAGUCCCUGGGCUUGUACCCUACCACAGCCAAAAUCACAUGAUUAAAAUGAUCACGGGGAUGAAUCCUAGACACAUACCCCAACUUCAUCAUAUCUGCGCUAGCCAAAAGAGCCUGAGCAGUCCACUUAGCCAACUUAUUCGCAUUGUUUUUAAGCUCAGUGGCCAACACGGCACCCCUCUGAGUCUCCAACUUCUGCCUCCAAUCCACACCCGAAUACUUAGGAUCAAACUCAUUUAAAGCAUUCAAAGUAAGGAAGGACCGCUGCUUAUUCACAUCAACAACACUGUGCACCUCACACCUCGCAACAAGAUACAUAUCAUCAUCAAGCUUCCACCUCCUAUACCUAUAAGCCACAGAAGCAACCUCCUCACCCUCAUUAGCAAAAGGAUUAGCCUCAUCAAAAAUAACCUUGUUCCCAUCCCUGAUCAGAACCUGCUGCGAGAAAUUCUGGUUAAUAUAGGCAGCCUCAACGCUCAACGAAUGAGCAGAGUUAAUAUCAUCCUUAGCCUCAGGCAGUGGCUCCUGAGAGGUCUCGUGAACGGAAAGCAAAUCAAGCUGCGACCCAUCACGCUUAUCAAAGAAAAGCUUGUUCCCAACGCGCUGAACGACAAUAUCCCACGAAUAUACAGACCUUGGGGCACACAUGAGAGUGGAGAGAAUGGUGUCGGUGGCAAAAACAGUGGCUUUGUCCUCGUUCGCGAGUCUGCGUAUAACAGGGUCGUCAGUAGUGGUGACCUUGAAGAAGUUCCGAUUCUUGAAACGUUCCAGGCGGCGUUCGUUUUUGGGUGUGAUGCGAUCGUAGGUACGAUCGUAGUAUUCGAGAGCACCACAGAGGAGAAGGUCUUCAGGCUCGGGAACGGUGAAGGACAGUUUAGAGAACGUGGAGAAGGGGAUCUGGUCGUGCAUGUUCCAUUCCGGUUGGAUAUCCACAGAGGAUUUGAAAACAGCGGCUUCACGGCGCGGCGCAUUAGGGUUUGAGCGGUUCAUGUGGUAUAGCCUAUCGCGACGUGCGCGUUCCUUCUCCUGUUCGCGUUUUCGGGCUUCGACCUCCUCGUCGCGGCGCUGCGGAAGCUGACGCUGCUGCUGGAAACGCCACUUAGGGCCGAAUUUGGGGCGCGGUGGAGGCUUGCCAUCGACGAGGCGGAAUGAGGCGUCGUCAUCAGCGGAGGCCGGGAAAGAGUCAUCGUUGGUGAAGUCGAAGACGGAAUCAGCGGGGUUCUUGGAGCGGGUCGGGUUGUUGAAAUUGCGGGUCCAGUCCGCGAUGCGGCCCAAUUUGUCAGAACGGGAGAAGGGGGCGAAGGGGACGUUGAGAGGAAGGUUGCUGCUACCGCCGGCGGCCGCUGUUUCCGGUGGUCCCCACCCGUCGGAGUUGAACGGAACGGCUCCCACGUCGAAGGCUUUUCCCAUUGGCUCAAUGCGAAGGGUUGAAUCUGAGAAACAGAUUGGUGUGCUCAGAGAGCAGAAGACGAGUGAGAAACCCUAGUUUCGAAAGCAGCUUUUAUACAACUUUUUGUUACGUGUUUACCCUUACCAAUUCUUUUAUUUAAUUUUACUAUGUGUGGGCUGGGCUGGGCUGGGCGGGGAACUAAGAAACCCUUAGCUUUUCGGUUUUUACUUCCUGAACCCGCCAAUUUCUUGCACCUCCUCAAUUUUGGGAAAAGAAAUGAGGCCUCGUUCUCUCUUUAAAUUCCUCUGGCUAAAUUCAGAAAAAAAAAAAACUACUCAUGCCUCGUUUUUGUUUAUUUUUUUAGAAAUCUAUGUCGAACUUUAACAUCGUUUCGUAUUGAAAUCAUUUUAGAGUUCUUAGACUUUUUGAUGUAUAUGUAUAAGUCAGUAGCUAAUAUUGACUUGAGUUAGAGUAUAAUAAAUACACAUUCUAAAUAUUUUAAUUAUCUUAUUCAUAUUUUUUUUAUAUGCUAAAUAUUCUAUUAAAGGAUAUUAGAUAAUCAAUAUUGUGUUAGUUAUAAUUUAGAUAUUAUUUUAAUUUGUAUAGAUUUGUGUACCUGUCAGAUGAAAAAUUAUAGGAUAUUUAUAUGUAUAUAUAGUACUUUAUUCUUUGAAAUAAUACAUCAGAAUUAUUUUUUAAAUCUUUUAUUAGUUUUUGCUAGGGUUUUAUUUUUUCGCAGACUUAAUUAUUGAUCCAAUCACAUCAUAACCUUCAUUAUAAAAGUAAUUUGCGUAUUACAAUUUUAAUUUUACAAUCUUGUUUACUUAAUGGUUAUAGUUUUUGAGUGGUGAUAUUCUCAAUCAAACAAAUAUGUGUGUUAUGUAUUUUUGUGGUCAUGUAGCAUGUUCUGACAACCUUAUAAUAUUUGAAUUAAGGUUUUAGUUCAGUGUUAACUUUGACCAAAAAGACAUAAUUAGAAAUGUAAUAGGUUAGACACAAAUAGUACCUAUUUGCUUCCAAAGAAAAAAAAAAAUUGAGCUGAAUGUUUAUUUAAAAAGUACUUAUCAAAACAAGUCAGGUUAGACAUAAAUAGUUAUGUCUGCUUCCUAAACCAUAACAAAAAAAAAACUGACAUACUUCUUGCUAAAUAUUCAUUUAAAAAUACUUACAAUUUUUUUUAAAACUCGGUACUAUAAUUGAAUACUCACGAGUAUUUAAAAGAUAAUAAUUUAUAAUUUUUUAAAAUACAAUCUAAAUAAAAUUUUAAAAAUAUAAAAUAAAAUGUAAAUUUUAUUUUUUUUGUAGAUAAAUUAAUAUUGAUACGAGUAGUAUAUAGCAAAUAUGAUGAUGAUCAGUAAAACUCUAAAAAAGUCCUUACUGGACAUUAAAAUAACACAAAUUUCAAAUAUGAAGGUUAUCAACACAACUAAAAGAGGGCGUUUAUAGGCAAUAGAUACAAACCUAAAAAAAAUUAGUACUUUGAAAAUUUAGUCCUUAAUUAAAUCUCUGUAGAGAAAUUUCUGAAUUCACUCCAUCGGAAAACAUAGCAUAUUCAAUUUUAAUAAAUAAAAAAUGCGUGAGAAUGGAAUUUAUUUAAGCAAAUUAAUAACAUGAAAAAAUAAUUUAGCGAUAAAUUAAAUUAUAAAAACUGGUAAAAGCAUUAUUUAUUUUUCUUCCUUAGAAAUAGUUUACAGUAAUAUUGUAAGUCCAUUGGUUCACAAGGUCUGCCUGACACACUAAAAUAAGACAACUUUCCGUAAAACAUGGAGACAAGAAUCAGACCAUAUGCAUUUGCUUACUAACUCGCUCGUAAAUUGCAACUCUAUUUUGUAUUCUCUAUUAACUCUCAUAUUUAAUUGUGGAGUAAAUAUCUAUGUUCAUUCCUGAGUAUUUUUCAUUAUAUGAAUGAUCAUUUACUUAUUAUAUUUCUUUUAUGAAUAUUUGAUGUAAAAAUACAUUUCUUUUAUAUUCGACGUGAAAAUAUACAUAUAUAAAUAGAUUAGUUUGUUCAUACCCAAGGCAUUCAUCACCAAGACAUUCUUUCAGAACUAAUUUAGAUUUUUUUUUUUCAAUCUUAAUUUAAAAUACAGCUGGCAUUACAAAUUUAUAUUAUUCUUGAAAAUACAUAUACAUAGAUUAGUUUGUUAAUAACUUAUUUAAUGAAAAUUUUCUAUCAAUGGUUCAUCACCAAGACAUUCAUUCAGAACUAAAUUAGAUUUUUUUUUUUAAUUUUAAUUCAAAUUACAACUGGCAUACCAAAUUUGCGCAUCUUAAAACUUGGUAAAAGCUAAAGCUGCGCCUUCCAUCUUUGGGUUGAACAGAUGGAGCAAAAGGACAGACAGAAAAAUAAAACACAAAACAUAAAUAAAUAAAAACCACGAGGAAGGAUUAAAAAAAAAAUCUAUAUACAAAUGAAACAGAUGAAAAACUGAAUAUAUAAUAAUGAAAAUUUAAAAAGCACAGUAGCUAGACUCGUAGAUGAAGUUCUUUAGCCUCUCAGAUAUCCUGGCAGCUCCGUUGGCAAAUUUCUCGUCCUGAACAAUGCAUUCAGACUCAGUUUAUCGGAAAAAUUAUCAUAUGAUUCGACAUGUUUUUAUCAUUAUUAUGGUUUAUGGUUUGAGACUAUAUUCAUAAGAAUCUCCCCAGUUGCAUGUAUGGAAAGGAAAGAUGAAAUCUGAGCUCACCUGAUGACAGUGUAUUGAAUGGAAAACUGCAUCUUCGAUAACAUUAUAACUGGCGUUAACAACAUCUAAUCCUUCUUCAUGAAGAACACGAAUGGUUUCACUGAACAUGAACUGAGAAUCCAACCCAGUUAUUAGAACAACCUCUAAGGUUGAACCCAUCUGUUGGAUCUCAAUCCGUGGAGAUUUAAACCCUACUCUCUCUCCUCUUCCAUUCAUGCUCACAUUUGCUCUUUCUAUUCCUAGUAGCUUGUUCUUCUUCUUCUCCAUUUUCUCCAUAUUCAUCUGUAAUUUCUUUAUGUAGUUUGUUGCUUCUUCUAGCUGAUCCGGCAGUGAAACCGCCUACAACAGAUUUAAAUAAAAACAGUAAUAUAUAUGGAAAUAGAAAUAUAAUUCUUUAAUAUUUGAAGAGAAAUGAGAAAAUAAGAAGAAAAUCGUUUAAGUCAAUCUCACAAAACUGAUUAUUUCUCUAGUCGAUCGAUGUAAGACUUCUAGAAGGAGUGGAGUGAAAAAUGGGAAAACCUUUGAUGUUUGAUGAGGCACAAGUGAGUUGAGUUUGCGGAAGAGAGUCUUCAUUUGAUUUCUUCUGUUCCUCUCAAUGAAUUUUCUAUCAAGUCGAGAUGGACUAGGGUUGUUCUCCAUAUCAGUAAGCAGGAGAUUGGUGUGGUAAUUUCAAAUGGUGAUUCCCAUGAAAAAGGAGAACGCUUCUGAUAUAAUGAUGUGAAUUGUUUGGAAUCGUUAAUGUCUUUUUGAAAAGCAAGAUAAUAUUAUUAGAUGCUGCUGAUCAAAGUUCAGAGAUUUGGAUGGAGGUGAGGACUCUUUGUGGUGGACCCAGCUAGCUUUGGCUAUGUCUUAAGUUUCACUGUUUCUUUUCCUUAAUAAUGAAAUUUUGUUUCUUCAACACUUGCAUUUUUUGUCACACAAACACGAUUGGAUCAUGGGACACGUUGGUCCCUACCUAAAGAAAUUCAUCACAUGGUGAACCACAUUUUCCUUCUAUCAAAUGUAUCUAUACACUAUACACACUUGAGUCUUUGAACAAUAUGUUAAAUGAUUAGUGACAUUACUUGUAAGUAGAUUUUCAUUUAGGAAGUAUAAAUCUAAAUUUAGGUUGACUUUAGAGUACAAAAUCAUUCAUCUUUGGGGACACUUCCUUUUAAGAUUGGAUAUUAAUAUGAACUCAGUCCAUAUAAGUCACUAUCCUUAUCUCUAAUUUAAAAUCUUAAAAAACAGAGUUAUGAGUUUUUUUUUUUUUUUAUCAUGUUUAAAUUUCUUAAUUUUUUAAUAUACCGUUAAACUUAUAAUUAAAGAAGUCCGAUAAAAAAGUAUAUGAUUAUUCAUAUUUUAUAAUGUAUUUAUAUUUCUCAUUCUUCUCUCUUUCUUUUUAAAAUAAUGUAAUUCUCUAUUAUAUAAGUUAAUUAACAUUGCAUUAAUAUUUAAUCUUUAUAAUAUUUAAAAUCUAUAAGUAGCAAUUAGACUGUCAAAACGGGUAACCCGGCUCGAUUAGGUCUGGCAUACCAGGGGUUGAUCACUUAGUGAGUCAAUCCAAUCCAGCUCAUUUAUUAGCGAGCCAGAAAAAUCUGAACCCGUCUCGAACCAUCACAAGUUGGUGGGUAAACGGGUUGACUCACUAGCCCAUUUAAUUACAAUUUUUUUAAAAUAAAAAAAUUACAAACUUUCUAUAUUCAAAUUUAAACAACUUUCACCCCCAAAAAAUGCUGUUAAAGUGAAGACAAAUUCAAAAUAAUAAUAAAAAGUAUAAUAUAAUCUAAAUGUCAUCCAAAAACAAAUACAAAAAAUAUACAAAAAAACCUGCUCCUUGAAGAAAUUCAGUGAAAAAGUGAAAGUGACAACACUAUAAAUGAGAGCAAGUUUCGGAGGAGAGAGUGAUUUGUGAGAGCGAAGGUUACUUUUUUUUUGUAUACACUGUGAGGUGAAGAGAGUAUUUUAUUUUUUAGGAUUUCAUAAAUAAAAUAAUAAAUUAAAAAAUAAAAUUAGCUAGGUGGGUUGGCGGGCCAACUCGACCUACCUCGGGUUCAAUCCGCAUAAGUCAGGUUGAAAUUUGACCCGCGUAAAAAGAAUUCAAUUUUUUCAAACCCAACACAGCCCGAAUCCGUGGUGAGUCGAGUUGGCUUGCGAAUUUUAAUCUAUUUUGGCGCAUCUAGUAACAAUUAUAAAAUAACAUGUACUCACACGAAAAUCAUUAAUGAAUAUUUGUCAUAAUGAAUAUAAAUAUUUAAUUGCCUUGAUUAAGCGGGUGAGGAUAACAGAGGGAAGACAUGAUAUCGGCUAAUAAUUAUUUCAAUAAAUUUUAAUUAAUUUGUUUAAAAAAAUUUAAAUGAUUGAAAUAAAAUUAUAUUAGUAAAAAAGAUAUUAAUUAUGGAAUAAUCAUUUAAAAUUUGAUUUUAUAUAUUUAUAUUUUUUAUUAUUAAAACAAAGAUAUUAAAGUUAUUUUGUUAAAUAUUAAUUUUUUAUAAUUUAUACUUUUCACAACUCAAUUAAUUUUAUAAAAAAAAAAAAAUUAUCUGUAUUUAUUUUCAUUUCAUUUUAUAUUUAAAAUAUUUGACUUUAAAUUUUUUAAAAAUAAAAUAUAAAAAUAUAUGUAAAUAUCUAUGGAUAUUUGUAGAUAUGAAAAACUUUACAUGUAUGUGUUUUCACAUAUAUCGCAAGAGUAAUAGAACGAGUAAUAAGACAUGUUUUUUUCAUAUGAAACAAUUAGACAUUAUUCAUAAUCCAACCUUUUAUCAUUUCUAUUUAUAAGUGUCAUAAAGUUAGAUAGAUAUUCUAAAUCUUAAAAAUAAUAAUACAAGUCUAUGCAACAAUGUUUUUUAAAUAUUUAUUAUAGAUUUUAUAUCUAUUAUAAGUGAAAACUUUUGCAUAAGAUUGAGUUAUAUCUAAAAUACGUUUAUAUAUAUUAUCAUGAAUUAGUUUUAAGAUUGAAUGUAAAAAAGAGGAGAUGAAUGUUGAGAGAGUUAACUCCGUAACAUUAACCAGAAUGCAUGGAUUUGGCAUCUGAAAUACAAGUUUCACAUUUUGCCGUGAUAAGUGCAUGAAGGGUUACGAAAGGUGAAGAACUUGAGUUCAAAUUAGAGGACUUUCUUAGUUGAAAAAAUGUGUAUAGAUUGACGGUUGGGACUAGAUGAGGGAAACACGAGGGAAUUUUUUGAGACUUUCAAUGGGCCACCUUCUGAUUUUUUUCAUCAGAUUAUGUGGUUGGAAGCCGAACAUCGUUUGUUACUUCGAAAAUAAAGUUGUGGUUGUCAUAUAUCAAGGAGUAAUACUAUCAUGACACAUUUUUACAUUCAUUUGACACAGAUUAUAAGGAUAAAAUGAUCUAAAAAAUAUAAAAUUUUAUAAUUUUUCAAAAAACAAAAAAAUAAAAAGUAAGUAAAGUAAUAUCAAAUGAAUAUAAAAAAAUUUAGAUAUAUCAAAUAAUCAUUUCUCUAUGUUACAAGAGAAGCCGCAUUACACCAAAACUAACAAAAAUGUUAUUUUAAUAACUUCUCACAAUUGUUUUUAUAAUAAUUUAUAUACUAGUUCGUAAUUAAUCUUUUUCAAAUAUAUGAUAAAAAAUAAUGAUAUAUAAUUUAUUUUUGAAAAGUUAUUUACAUUUCAUAUUUUUAAACUAUGAUAUGUUACUUAUUCUUUUUAACAAUAAAUUAUAUAAUAUCAAAAUUAUAGAUUAAAACUUAUUAUAGACUAAAUAUAUGAUAUUAUUCACGGAACCAUUUAUGUUUGAUACUUAAUAUAUAUAUAUAUAUAUAUAUAUAUAUAUAUAUAUAUAUAUAUAUAUAUAUAUAUAUUUUAAAAAAUAAAAAAAUAUUAAAAAAUCUAUAUUAAUUAAAUAUAAAUGAAUUUUAUAAUAUAUAAAUAAAUAUAAACAUUACUUAAAAACUGAAUUUUAUAAAAUUAAAUUAAAUUUAAAGUUGAUUCUAUAACAUUCUUGGUUAAUCACUUUUUCAAAACAUAAUAAUUAACUUUUGUCUUAAAACAUUCAUUAACUUUAAUCAAUUUCCGAAAAUAGAUACAUUGUAUCAGACUAAUUAAAGAAGGGUAAAAAGAACUAUCUUCAAAUCAUGGUAUCUAGAAAAACCUAAAACUUGGAUGUGCAAAUACAUUUUAGUGAGAUGCGUAUUCAACGAAUGAAGCAAGGAGGAACAAAAGGUUAUUUUUAUUUGGAAUUUUUAAAUAUUAAAAAACUUUUAAUAAAAAAAAGUUCUGUGAUAUUCAUCAAAAGUUUUAAACAUUAACAGACAGCGGAAUUUGGUAGUAUUCAAAUAAGAUUAAAAAAAAUUAAAAACGUUUUAAAUUUAAAUACGUAUUUAUAUAAAAAUAAAAAUAUUUGUCACGAGAGACAUUAAAUAAAAUUCUAACUUAAUCAUAAAAACAUUCUCGGUGUUAUUUUUAAAAUUUUCUAAAAUGGAUCUCAUGAUUAUGUAUGCCAAACUAAAGAACCGCAAAUUUUUAUCUAUUUAAAAUUUUGAUGGUUGAAAAUUAUGUUUGAAUUUAAAUUUUUUAAGUAUUUAAAAUUGUAUUUAAUCAUGUUAUAUUCAUUACAAAAAUUAUAUUUUUAAUUGUAUAUGAUUUUGCAAAUUAUAUGUUGGUUUUGAAUUUUGUUAAGUUUCCAAAACUCUUAAUCAUAAUAUAUUUAUUAAAAAAUUAUUUCUGAUUGUAGUAGUUUUUUUUAAUAACAUUGACAUAGUUACUGAUUUAUUUUUCUACUAAGGUUAUAUUAUUAUUUUGUUAUAGAAUAUUACGUUCAUAUAUACUAGGAGCCGUGUUGAGUUUUAAAACUUUUUUAAGGUUCUUUAAUCAAAUUGUUUUGGAUUUUUUAAAAUUAAUAAAAUUGUGUAAUUAAAAAUUUAUUAAUUGAUUAUAUUAUAAUUUAAUUUUUGAAGUUGGAGAGUCGUUUAUUUUUCACAUUAUAGGUGUUUUUAAAAAAUUUGAAAAAAUUGUGACAUUUUGUAUUUUCAUCUUUAAAUUUUGUUUUGAAAAAGAUCUUUUUUUAUCAUUAUUACUUUCAAGUUUAUCGAAUAACAUCCAUAAUCAAUUAUUACAUUCAAGAAAUAUUGUUUACUUAUAAUAUGAAAUUUUUCGUUAUAAUUUUAUCAUUAAAAAAUGCAUCAAAAGAACUAUAUAUUUUAACUAUCUUUCUUAAAUGAUGUCGAAGUGUGAUAAAAACAACUUAUAAAUUUAUAACGAAAAAUAAUCUCACUUGCCACCUCUGCUGUUUAUUCUCAAAUAAUCUCAAUCUCUGAAUUGUUAAAUAAUAUAUUUUAAAAAAAUAAUUUAUCUUUUUAAUUUUUAGUGUUAAAUUUUUAGAACAAUAAAAUAUUAUUUUGAAAAAUCAUAUCAAAAUUAUUUUCCAAUUAAAAAACAUCAACACAAGAUAUAUUUUCACGACAUAAAGUAUGCUGAUUCAAUUCAGUGAUAAAAUAAUUUACAAUUAAAAAAUACGACUUAAAAUAGCAAAAUUUCGUUAAUUGACAGAUUUAAAUAAUAAAAUCAAUCCACAAUUGAAAUGGAAGAGAAUAAACUCAUCUAUGUUGAGAAAUUCUAUGUUCAGUCUACAAAUUUGAAUAUAUGGUACAGAUGAAAUUUUCGUUUGAUCUCAAUAUUAUUUCAGAUUCUAAAAUUAUUUCAUAUAAAACUAACAUUUUUUAUUUAAACGAAGAGCUCCAUAUAAUGUAAUGCGGAAAUAAAAGAGUUAAAUUAACUUCAAAUUUCUCCUUCUAUAUUAAAUAAAUUAUAAAAUUUCAAUGAUAAAAUAUUUUAUUAGAAAGUAGGUUAAGAAUAUCUUAUAAAUCAGAGAGUGAAUUCAUGAUAUUUUGUAUUUCUUGAUUGAGUUUUAACUUUAAAGAUAUCAAAUAGCAUUUAACUUUUACUGUUAUCAGUUAUAUCGGUCGAUGAAGUCAUGAGUAUGACGUCAUCUUUAUACGUAAUUCUUUGACCCCAAGAAAAUAGAAAAUCAUUUGUAUUUAGGGUUUCAAAUAGUUUAGUUUAUUCAACUAUACUUCUCCGUAAUAGAUUUUGAGUUCCUUAAAACCUAAUUUCAGAGUGUAAAUUUAAAAAUUAUAUAAAUUUUAAAAUUCUUGUAACCUUAACAGUUAUUAUUUCUACCUUUUAUUUUUUAAAGCACAUUGCAUAUUUCAAGAGUCAAAUUCCUCUCAAUAUGGGUAGUUCUUUUCUAUAUCACUGAUUGAUCCUUUUUAUAUAUAUAAUCAUGACAUUGGUCCUACUACUUUAAAAAAAAAUGUUUAUAUCAUUUUAUUAAAUUAAAAAUAAUAAUUUUUAAAUAUGUGUUAGUUACAUUAUAGAAAUGAAGUAAUAGAAGAACAUAAGAGAAAAACAAAUCAUAACAAAAAAAACAUAGAAGAUAUGUGAUUUGAAUAAAUAAAAUAAAAUAAAAAAGCAGUGAAAUUUUAUUUUUAUUUAUUUAAAUGAUUAAGAGAGAAUUAAAGUAAAUAGAUAAAAUUGUAUAAUAUUUAUACAAAUAAAAAAAUAUUAAAGCCUGUUUGUAGUUGGGUAAGACCGAAGUCACGGUGUGGCGUAAAACCAAAUCAACAAUACCAUAUUUUAUAGUUAUUUAAAUUACUUUAACUCAAAUAUAAGUAAUAAAGGAAAAUAAAAAAUAUUCUAAAUAUAAGUUUCACAUAACAUACAAGUAAUUGCAAAAGAACAAUUAGUUCAAAUAGUGAGUAUCCAAUUUCCUUUACCUCUAUUUUGGAUAAAAUAAACAGAAUAUAAAAAACAAAUAAAAUCAAAAUAAAAUAGAUUAGAAAAA